This is a long non-coding RNA of Mus musculus (house mouse), 45539 nucleotides long. RefSeq annotates it as predicted gene, 41284. NCBI's taxonomy places the organism in Eukaryota, Metazoa, Chordata, Mammalia, Rodentia, Muridae. The record is from RefSeq and is a predicted model, not a curated record. The transcript has 2 exons.
UCUCACACACACACACACACACACACACACACACAUACAUACACAGAUACACACAGAGAAAAUGUUUUUCUUUUAGUUGAUAUGAGAUUAUAACUACACCAAACUAAAGCAUUCUAACCAUUGCCAUUUCUGGACAAGAACACUAUGGUAAAGUUACAGAUGUGGUAGGUGUAUGGUGAUGUGGCUAGGCCACAUUGAAAUAUAAUACUGCUUUGAAUGAUAUCUUUUAUAUGGAAUUUGUAGUCACUCUCAUGUUGAUUGCUGCUCAUGCCGAGUGAAUUCUUAGGUCACUAUUAAAAUAUUGAUAAAGUGUAUUUAAUUUCCAGCCACCUGGUACCAAGAAAGAUUUGUACCAAAGAGAUUAAUGUGAGAAUAGAUAAAAGUCAUUUUAUAACUUAAACCUCAGAAUUGUUAGUGUUCUUUGAAUACCAUGAAUUGUUUGAGGUGCUAUGGAAGCUAAAGGCAUUGUGUGGAACUUGUGCCCCCUCUCAACCAAAAGAAAAGGAAAAAAUAAAAAUAAAAGAGCUCUGCCUAUUGGUAUAUGGGUAUGUGCCAAGAGCACUGCAAAAUAAAAAAAAAAAUGUACAUGGGUUGUGUUCUCCUCUAGUGAGAAGAGCGGGAAUGUAGAGAAUCUAUUAUAUAUCCAUCAGUCUAUACAAGUCUUGGGCAUACUAUGCGCCUCACAAUAUAAUGUGCUGGAAAACAGCUGCAUAUAAGAAGGGAAAUUUGCCUUCUCACAUGCGAGGCGCAGUCUUAAGGAUCUAGACCUGUUGGCUACUGUUUAGUGAGAGGUUACCUAAAGGAAAGAGCUGGACAUCAGAAAACAAUGCAAACAGGAAGCCUGGGGCCAGGAGGUCUUUCACAAGCUGUUUAUUAUGCCAGCCAAGUUCAUUAAGAAUUACAGCAUUUUGUAUAUGGUUUGCAAGGGAGAAAUAGGACAGAGCCUACAGAAAGUUAUUAUAUAAUGGGAUGAAGUCCGCAGCAGGCUAAUCAAGCAAUGUUGCACCAGGUGAGCUGGAUAUCAUAUACCAAGUGUUCAACAGGCUUGGAAUUUGUAAGUCCAGUCUCUGCAGGGGACUUUCCAAGAUUCCAAGGCCCUGGUCCCAUCCCCAGAGUCAAUUCUGCCAAGUUUGCCCCUGGGCAAAGACAUGGAUCUAGGUUUUCUUCGUGCUUUUGUGGGAGCCUCUGGGAAAGCUUUGGUUGGCCUGGCCCUCAGUGUUUACUGCUGUCUUAAGGAUGACAAUUCCUUCACCACAGCAUCCUGCUCAUGUAAGUAUGGUUCUCUUAAAUGUUCACAACACAAUGUCUGUUGAGGUAAGAUUUGUGUUUUUUGUAGACUACUCUUUCCCAAUAGAACACACAGAGAGAUGAUCAAAAUGGGAAGGAAAGAAAUUAAAUUGGUUGCUUUCCUUCAGGGCAGUACUACUGAAGUACACUUUAAUCUUAACCUUGACAAUUUCAAGUAUUUAUUAGAUUGGUUAAUGAACUGCAUUCCAGAGGGAAAAAGUUAAUCAUAAGCUUUGUUGUGUGUGUGCAACACUCGGAUUCAGAACAGAGGAAUCAUAGACUAAUGAAGAAACAAAGCUCCAAAGAAUAUUUGAAUGGUUUUAAAGAAAUAACGAAAACUAAAGGAUAAGGGAAUCUUAAGGAAAGUAUAGAGGAACAAUUGGUGUUUAAGUCAGGGGAUUGGAUCUCCAGAUUUUCACAGAAGAUCUAACUGCCUGCAUUCUAUGGAGAAUUCUUUCAUUAUAAGUCAGAAAAGUACAAAGUGACCGAAGCUCUGAGAUGCUAAUUAGAUCCAGUGAUAUUUGCAAGGAAAGAAAUUUUCAUAUAGUAGACUAAAUUACAUAGUUUUUUCAAAGUGUUACCAUUUAUUACAGGGCUUUAGUUUAAUGUAAAAAGAAUGUAUUUAAAAUUAGGAUAUAUAAAUAUAAUUUUCAGGAGUGAUAAUUCAAGAUAGUAGCAUGUGCAGUUUGAAUAUAUAAUAUUUAUUAGUUCAUGAUUUUUAAGAAAGUGUCUCUGGCCAAUAACUAUUAAUAACUCCUCUUUGUCUCUCUGUUAUCUCCCUCGGGAGGUCAGACCAAAGCAUUUCUGAAUUUCCCAUUUUAUCAUUUCCUUAAGUUCUUUAUAUUCCCACAUAGACUCAUUUAAUAUAUAAAAUGUUUAGUUUUCUUGUUUUUUAAUUCCACAUAUAUGUUAUACAUAUCUUGCACGCCGCUUUUGAGAAAGAGCUUAUUUCUACUUUCCGGGAUCUCUUAUAUUGGUGUGGACACUUUGUAGCAUGUGCAUUUUCUUAGCUGAUACCUUCUAUGUCAUCAUGUGACUAUGUUCCAGGGGAUGUGUUAUGUAUGCAGAAUUUUCUCAAAUAUACAAGUUUGAACUCUGUAAACAAAUGGCUGGGAACAUAGCUGAAUGAUGUUCAUGGUGUGGGCAAGCAUUCGUUCUCGUGGUUAUGGGAUGAAGAAAAAGAACCAGGGCGUAAGGCUGAGAAAUUUUCCAAUUCUUCCCACGUACUCUCAGCAAAUGGUUUCUGAAUUAUUAUUUGUUCUUCUAAAUCUGGUGCAUUUCAAGCCUUCAUUAUUCUAAUUUCUGCUCUAAUAGAAGACUAAACACAUCUAUUAGCUAUUGAUGUUUACAAUGCUCCUAAAUGCUGUUCAUGCAUUUUGCAUAUUUUUAUAUUGAUAUUUUCAUUUUAACUUAGGUAUUUUCAUGCUUAAUAUAUUUGGUUCUGCUUGUUGCACAUAUUACAGUUUUGUUCUCUGAAGUCUUUGGCUUCAUUCACCUGCUUGUCUCACCUUUUGAUAGACAGAUUGUUGGCUUUUUUUGUUUAUUUGUUUUUUGUGUGUUUUGUUUGUUUGUUUUUGUUUUUACUAGCUUGUGUCUUUCCUUCUUGGUUUUAGGUUUGUGUUUCCUAGGAACUUUCCAGACCCAACCUAUAAUAUUUAAUUUUAAAAUUAGACCAAUUUAAUAUUUAUAUGGUUACAACUUGACACCCGCUAGCGUCGUCAGAGGACGGAGAUUCAGUUGAGGAAAGGCCUCCAUGAAAUCCAUCAGUAAGUCAUUUUCUCAGUUAGUGAACAGUGGAGGAGGACGCAUUGUGGAUGGUGCCAUCCCUCAUCUGGCUCCUCCGUGGCUUCUGCAUCAGCUUCCAGAUUUGUACUCUGUCUGAGUUCCUAUCCUGACUUCCUUCAGUACUGAUGGAAGAGUAAGCCAAAUAAACCUUUGCUCACCAACUUGUUUUUUGGUCAUGGUGUUUCAUUGUAGCAAUAGAAACCAUAACUAAGGUACUCAGUCAGUGUUUCUUUUGGGUUUUAUUUUUAGAAACUUGGUUUUGAGUUUUUAAAUUAUUUAAGGGAUUAAAACAGUGGUCUAUGUGAGUUCCCCCAUUCAUUGAGAACAUAUGUAGCAAUCUGUUGAUUGUUUUAAACUCAGCAUAUCAAUAUAGAUUUGAUUUUCCUUUCCUCUUUUCUUUUUCUUUCCCCAUGUAAACAGCUAAUUGUCUCAACAGCCACUCUUCAGUAGACUUUAGUGUGCUCCUUAAACUUCAGUGGUGUCUCUGUAAUGAAUCACUUUUUUUUCCACAGCUGUGUGAUCUACUUCUGGGAAAUUGAUACUUUAUGCUAUAAGUCAUCCAACUCAUGAACAAGACACCCAUUUAUUUCAUUCUUUUAACUUGUCUCUUGGUGGAAUUUAUAGACAUAUCCUUAAAAGUUCCCUUCCCUCAUUAAGUAGUUUCACGUGUGUGUCACACACUAUCCUGUACCCUGUAAACAUUUCAAACCAGUCAUUGGGUUCAUGUCCCUUAGAAUGUUUUCAUGGUGAUUAACAGAGUUCUGAAUUUCAAUUAUUGCAUUCCCAGGAAUAUUUGUGUUGUGUUUGUUCUUCCAAUCACGAAUGCCUACUAUUGACUUCUCACGCCUGUGAACUAAACUGUCAGUCUGUCCUGGGAGAGCAUAGUAAAGAAUAUAAACUCAGUACCAAGCCCAGAGAAGCAAAACCCCUAUCAUUCUGAAAUGCCUGACUCUCCUUUUUGUUCAUACUCGGGUGUUAAGGGAUGCAUGUCAUCUGAAUUUCCACUGGCAAGUAUAGCCCCUCUCUUCUUGGUGACAGCACCGCCAUGGAUAAUGAAGUCAUGGUGUUCUCCUACAUAGAGAGUUUAUCUCAAAUUUAGCUUAUAAAUUGGGCACAUUAAGGCUGAAAGAAUGAAAACACUAUGCAAUAGAGACCUGGAAAAAAAUGUAAAGCAUGCAAUAUGGUAAAAACUAUUUAAAUUGGGUUUCUCAUUCUAUCACUCAAAAUAUCUUAUUGUAUUAUGUCCCCUUCAUAUGAUGAUGGGAGAUGCUACAGUGACUGUGCUGAAGAGGCACAAAUUAAAGGAUGUAUGCAUUGUGGCCUGCGGGUCAGCUGCUACUAGCCUUCUGCUGCUGGUCCAUAUGUUCAAUGAGCCUAAAUAAUAUUGUAUGACCACAUGUAACUGGAAUUGGAGAGAGACAACUUCAGAUGGGGUAGGACUCUGGAUACACUAUGGUUUUAAACAGAAUCUGUAUAAAUAAGUAUAUAUCAGCUUUGUGGUUUGUCAGUUAUCUUCAGUGGGUCACAGGUGACAAAGUAUAUUCAUGGUAACAAAACUCUCCAUCUUGUUGCAAACAUGACCUUUAUGAGCAAAAUCAGUCUUGCUUUUAUUCUCUGGUAAGAAAUGUUUUCUUUUCCCUACCCUACACCUUGGGUCAUUUCUGGGUCUUUCUCCUUUUAAAGAAUGUUUUCUCUGGAGCGGGAACUACACUGCUAUAACCAUUCUGAUUAUACUUCCGUGUCAGCAUGCUACAGUCUCAAGUGAGGGCAGACAUUUUCAGUGUUAGGAGUAAAAAAGAAGCCAGCCAUCUUGGAUGCCUCGAACAACCUUCAAAUGUGGGCCUGCAAAGUGGGGCUUGCUUUAGCCAGCGCUUAGCUAAGCAUCUCAUGAGCAGUGGGUGCUUCCACUUGGUUACAUACUUGGUGAAUAAAUCCUUGUUUGUUCGCAAGUUAGUUAAUGUAGAGAAUAUAUUUUAAAAAAAAAAAGUUGAUGCAAGAAAUUAAAUAGUCCAGUCAAUUUACAGAUCAAAGAAAUGUUUCCUUUUCAAAAGACAAAGUAUAAAUAGCUAAUAAACCUGAAAAAAAAUCAACUUCUUAACCACCUGGAAAGCAAAUCAAAGCUACAUUAAGAUUCUAUCUCACCCCAGUUAAGAUAGCUAUCAGCAAGAGAACAAAUAACAACAAACUCUACUGAGGAUAUGAGGGGCACAGAGGAUCUUUAUGCACUUCUGAUAGGAUUGUAGGUAACUAGCCUGGUCACUGUGGAAAUCAAUGGGAGUUUCUCACAGGAGAGAGAGAGAGAGAGAGAGAGAGAGAGAGAGAGAGAGAGAGAGAGAGAGAGAGAGAGAGAGAGAGAGAGAGAGAGAGAAUGUCAUAGAACUACCAUAGGACAGCUUUACUAAUCUUAUACAGUAGGUACAUAUUCAAAGGGAUCUAAGUCUAGAUUUGACAGAGACCUGUUUACUAAAGCACUGCUCAUAAUAUCUAUGCCAUGGAAUCCAUCAACAUAUUAAUGGACAAGACAUGCACUUGCAUGCGCAAGUGCACACACAUACACACACACACACACACACACACACACACACACACCACUAUACAAUGAAUUGCAUUCAAGAAUAAAACUAUGCUAUUUCCAAUAAUUGACUACAAUUGCAGAUCAUUGUAUUAAAUAAAAUAAGUCAGAUACAGACAAAUAUAUCAUGUUUUCUCUUAAUUUUAUGUUCUCCCACUUAUAUGAAACAAACUUAAUAUAAAAUAAAGUGAGGUCAGGAGAUGCUUAAUUGAGAUAAUGAAGAUGUGGCAUGGACUUUCACUUGAUAGGUAAUGUAAGAUUAAAAACACAUUCAACUGUCUUUCUUGAGAUUUUUGAGAAUUGACUUUGAAAAGCACAAAUUUAAAUUGAUUUCAUUUUGUGCCUUCUCAAGUGGAUUAUUAUAUAAACUCUUCAUUUCUAAAACUUGCCCUCACAAAGUGAGAACAUUCAUUGUAUAUUUUAAAUGGCAAUACUCUAUGUGUCAUUGAUCACAGUUAGUAACAGAACAUUUGGUAUUAGUGGAUGGUUUAUAUCAAUGACCUACAGUGGUAGCUUUAGAUAUAUUAGCAAUUAUUUCAAAACUAAUCAGAGAUAAUGCCCAUGACCCUCAUUUAGAGACUUGGCCAUAAAAAUGCAUGGAAGUAUUGUUUAAAAGAUGGUGGAGCUUAGACCACCAUCAUUCUUUAUUAGUCAUUAGUCAUUCUUUAUUUUGAAACAGUUCAUGUCUUUGCUUUCCUACCAUGAAAGUCGAUUUGUCCCAACAGGAAGUUGCCUGCAGCAUUAUACAGGUUCUGGGUUACAACCUCACUCAAUUCAUUCCUGAGACUGGAGCUGGGCUGUGUUAUUUGUAGCAACCUCAUAGUCCAUGCUUUCGGCCAACUAAUCCAUUGUACUGACUUGUUUUAUGUCAAGUUGACACAGCUGGAGACAUUGGUGAAGAUAGCACUUCAACUGAGAAAUUGUUAGUUUAGCUAUGGGCAAGUUUGUGGUGUACAUUCUUGGUUGACAAUGGAUGUGAGAGGUCCCAGUUCUCUAAAUGUUACCAACCCUGACUGCUGGUCGUCUAGGAAAGGAGCCUGAGCAAACUACAAGGAACAAGCCAGUAGCAGCAUUCUUCCAUUGAGUCUGCAUCAACUCUUGUCUCCAGAUUUAUACUGAGUUCCUGUUUUGAUUUUGCUCAGUAAAGGAUUGGGCUAGGGAAUAAUAAAUUGAAAAACAAAAGUCUCUUCUCCCCAGGUUGAUUUUGGUCAGUGGUGUUUUAUGACAGCAAUAGGAAACCUAAAAGAGAAAGUCAUUUAAGGUGUACUUUGCCUUUUAGUAUAUGUUAAUUAUUCAAUAUAAGGGGUUUCAUUGUAGCAUUUUCACACACAUACAGGGAUACACUGUGAUCAUGGUCACUCCCGCCAUGGCUCCUCUUUCUAUGUUUCCUUCCACAUCACUGAUUGUCAUUGUCUUUCCAUGUCAUGCUUUCCAUUCCAUAUUCUACAUAGAAGAGAAAAAACAUGACAGUUACUUGUCUUUGUGAAACUCCUUUGACUUCAUAGGAUCUAUUGUUCCAUCCAUCUUCCUGAAAACAACUAUCCCAUUCAUUUAUAGCUCAAUAAAACUCCCUUGUGUGUCUAUACUGUGCCACCUUUCCCUCAUCCUUUGAUUGUUCACUAGACUAAGUCCAUCAUUUAGCUAUUCUGCAUGUUGCCAUAAAUAUGACAGUGCAAAGAUUGCUGUAGUAACCCAGCUUUGACACUUUGGGGUAAAAUGUGUAACUAUUACAAUACAUGAGAUGAAAACUUUUCAGAACUAUAAUUCUGGUUUUCACAGGACUAGACACAUUCCAAGCCUACCACCAGUAUAUUUUUCUUCUCCAUCCCCCAUCCUCAGUUGUAUUCCUCUUGUCAGUUGUAUUCCUGAUGAUAGCCCUGCCAACACCAAAUCACGAGGUGCCUCUAAUCUUGAUAAUUAAUCGGUGGUUUGGAGGACAUAGGUCUUUAAGGGAACAAAAGAUUUUUGUUGUAGUUGUUUUAAUUUAAUUAUAUGGUGCCAAAAAAAGCAUUAGGUACCAUUGUGGCUUGUGUUCAUGCAAAGGCGAAAGGACAUAGACAAGCUUAUGUAUAUCUUAUUUGGCAUAGGAUGAUGUGAACAGAGGGUCAGAAAAGUCUCUCUGUCACAAUAACGACAUAGCAAUGCAGUUUAUGAGGAACAGAGAAGUCAACUGAGGAGUAAGUGUUGACACAAUCCCUUGUGUUCAUAGAGAAAAAGAAAGAAAGAAAAUGAAAUGACACCAGUCUUGAUCUGCAUAAUUGAAAAGCAGCUACAAACAUACCAUAUCAGAGAUUGUAACAGAAAAAGCAUAGCUUUACAGUUAAUGGGCGUAACCCCGUAGGAAUUGCUUUAAUUUCUUAAAUUAUGUGAAGAUUGAAAACAGGUUUUUUUUUUUUUAAGAAUUGAGCUGAUUUAUUAUUUAACAUAAAGGAAAAAUGUACAGACAUGAUAUUUGCCAAACAUAUAAAAGACCGUAUCAUAACAUCUAUAACAUGCCUUCAUGUCUGCAGUACAUUUAAAGAAUUGCUCAUUUACUUUUAAAUAUUUAUCUACUUCAAUACUUUUGUCAACAUAUCACAAUAUAGAAACAUUUGGGAAGAAGAUUUCUUUUUUUUUUUUUUUUUUUUUUUUUUUUCUUAACAGCCAUAAAACAAAAGGAGCGCUGACUGGUGGAAGGCUACACAGUGUGUGUAGUUUACCAAUGUGAGAGAGAAUACAUGAUGUUGCUGCUAUCUUGCAGUUUGGCUUACUGUAAUAGCAACUCUAUUUGGCUCAACCUAAAUGGGCAAUUAGGAUAGAUGAAAUAGCAUGAGCUGUGGGGGCAUUGCGCUCUCUAACAAACAGCAUCUCCCACAGUAUAGCUGUGAAUCCCACUGACCCGUGGCAUUGACCAAGGCUUACUGAUUGUAUAAAUGUCACACCAAAAUAAUCCGUGGAGUUCAAUGAUUUGCUCAUUUAUAUCAUGGGUCUGCAUUGAGGGUCCUUUAAAAGAACCUAUCUUGGGGAAUUCAAUCAUCCUUCAGCCACAUGUGAGUGACAGGUGAAAGAGAUGAUUGGAAGCUGGAUGCUGGAUGAGGUCAACGGAGAUUUUGAAAUGUGAGCUCAGCAUCUUCAGGAACUCUAGGGAAAGGCCUAUGGGUCUGAACAACUACAGCAGAUCACAGACAGGGCCUUGAGGGAAAGAUGGGUGAACAUUGAUUGCCAGUAUAGGGCAACAAUUCAGAUGCACUUCUUGGUUACUCGGAGUGACUUUCACGUCAAAGAAUACAAUUCAUAUUAUGUUAUAGUUCAGGAAUAUUAUUUCUAGCAUUUGCCAAAAACUAGAGAGUAGGCCCUGGUAUUUUUAUUACUGCGCCGUCCUUCCUUUCUGAGCAUAGAAGACCAGUUAAAUUGGCCCUAAGUGUUAACCAAACAUCUAGACAUCUGGGAAUAAACACUCUGUAUUAAUGGAAAACUGUAACAAAUCUUAAAUGCAAUAGAAGAUUUGAAAAGGCACAUGCAACACAUCAUUUUUAUCCAGUUAACAUUUAAUGUAGCUAUCCAAGUGAAGAAUAUUAUCAUUCUACCAGGAAGGCAUUGUAUAUUCUGUAUGAGAACAUCCUUGUUAAAAAACAGCAUCCUGUGAAUUGCCAGGGUGCUCUACAAAACAGAAUACAUUGACCUAAGUAUUCCCAGCCAGGCUGAUUAGGUGAAAACUCUUCACAAACAACAACUAACGAGACAAGAAUAUAAUGCUUAUGUUUCCCCUCAUUAAGCAUGUGUACCUCAAACUCGAUGUCCCUAAGAAAUGAAGGGAUAUAUAAAAUAAAUGAAGUAGCCCAAUUUGCCGUCUUGCUGGCCUCCUGAACAUUCAAAAGGCUUAUGGAAAUGCUGAGAGGAACGCCAAUUAAUCCUGGAAUAGGAUGAGAAGAAAAUGUUAUGAUAAAUAUUGUUUUACCUGUUCACUGAAGCCUUCAUUACUUUAGUAUGCUAAGAAUAGUAGAAAGCGUGAUGCCUGAUGGUCAAGGGGAAACUGAUACAGUUAAUAAAAAUGCUGAGCCUUGUCUCCUUAGAAGAGCCAUCUCAUUGACAGAAAGCUAAUGCGAGUUAGCAGAGUCUGCAUGCUUUGUUGAGAACAGACAGUGGAAUGGACAUUAUUAUCCCUUUGCCCCACUUGUCUGUUAUAUUAAAAUUCUCACUUUUUAAACUAUCCUGAUGAUAUUUAAAAGUAAGUCUUUUUAAAGUUUAUGGAAAUUGGAACUGCUGUCAUUUAGGUAUCCCUGGGGAAGGAAGUGCCUUAUGGGUAUGUGGCUAUCAUCCCGCUGGAACCAAACAGUACGAGAAUGGAUACUUUCCUCCAGAAUGGUACCUCAGUCAGAUGUUUUUUUUUUUGUUUUUUUGGUUUUUUUUUUUUUUUGUUUUUGUUUUUUUUUUGCACAGAGUCCACCAAAUGGUAGGGAGUCUCUGGAAAUGCUUCAGAUUGUUUGCGACUAUUGUUAGGUAAUACAGGCAAUCUUCUGCUGGUGUUUAGUGAACUCAAAAAUGGGACUUUAAAUUCCAAAUUCCCUGUCAUUUUCCAGAAGUUUGUAAUGAAAAAAAUCAUGUAAAAUCAUGACAAAUGGGUAUUUUCAAUAGUUGUUUCUUUUAUAUCUUUUUAUAGAGUGCCAGGAUACACGUUCAAUUUUUCUAUUUACUGAAAGGAACACCACUCUUUAAUUGUGCUCAGUGAUUAGUUACUCCCCAGGAUGCCCAGUUCCUAGGCCUGUGUUAUACCACUUCCCUAUAGAAGUCUAUCUUUCGUUUGACAUUUCUUUUCCAUGUGUAGAAACAUAGAUUUAAAAAAAUAUAUUAGGGUAAGUAGUUACUCUCUGUCAUUUGAAUGCCAGUGACUCUCUGUCAUUUGAAUGCCAGUGUCUAGUUUAAAAGCCAAGAAUGUUUGGGAGUGAAUAUGUUCGUAAAGCUAUGAGUUGUAUUAGUGUAUAUAGACUUCAUUCAGCUCUGUAGGUUCAAACUUAUUUUAGUUUUCGUUUCUGCUUUUAAUUUUUCAAGGUUAUAGGCAAACUUUAAUUUCACAUAUAUUAACCAUGCAAUAGUAUAGUGAAAUAAAUGAAGUAAUAAACAAUCAUAACUAGGAAAAGUUUAUUUCCAUCCACAGUCUGGAGGUUCAGGCAAAGAUCUGGUAACCCUGUCACUUUGAGCCUAUGAUGGGGGCAAUAGGACUUGAUGAGAAUAUGGCAGGAUGGAUCUCAAGCAUCAUGAUUGGCCCAGGAAGAAGAAGAGGAAGGUAGGAGGAACCAGGCUUCCAUAGUCCUCCAGUGCAUGCCUCAGUGACUUAAGGAUUCGGCCCUACACUCAGCUUCUUACACAUUCCCAAUGUCAUGCUGGGGUCCAGGCCUUUCCAAGCAUUUGGGCUUUGGGGGACACUGGACAUAUCUAAACCACACCAUUAUAAUAAUUGUAGAUUUCAGCUCUGGACACUUCAGUUAAAUAUAAUUAUUACUCAGUGACCAUUUUGAGCCAGUUUUUAUGAAGGAGAUUUGCAUGGUCAAAUUAUUUUACUUUUAAUUGACAGAUAAUCAUUUUAUUAUAAUGGGACAUAGUAUGAAAUUUGGAUGGGAUUUUAAUAUGAAUGAAAAAAUUCAUCUCACGUACUUAUUUAUUUCUGUGGUGAAACUAUUUAACAUCUACUCAUUUAUCACUUGAAAUAUACACUGCUUUAUUCCUUAUUAUAUGGCUUAUUCUAUAUGAUAAACCAUUAAAAUUUAUCCUAUCCUUAAAUUCAAAUGAUCAUACAUUCUAUCAAAAUAAUUUCAACAUUAUACUUGAAAUGAUGAAUUUGGCUGAAGAAGAAUUGUGUUGCAGGGCGUUGAGGAUUUGAAAGAGUCUGGAAGCAGCACUGAGAAAGCUGCAGCAUCUGUGCCUCAUGUUUUGGGAAUACUGAGUAGUCUUUCCCCUACUGCACCAUUUAGUUAGUACAUAAAACAAAGUUGGAAAUCACUGGCAGCUCAUAGCUAUGGAUAGGUCAGUGGUAUAUUCUCCCUCUACAUCAGUGGUUUGCAAACUUGAUAAUGUAGAGAUAGAGAUACAGAGACAGACAUAGAGAGAUAGACAGAUAGAUAGAUAGAUAGAUAGAUAGAUAGAUAGAUAGAUAGAUAGAUAGAUAGAUAGAGAAAUAUAGGUGAUAUAGUUUAGAUAUAGAUAUAUGUAUAUAUGUUUAUGCAUCUAUCUUUAUAUUAACAUACUUAUACAGAGAUACAAAUAUAUGUCAUCGAUAUUCAUUCACAGUGAAAUAAAGUCUAUUGAACAAUUUAUAUAGAAAUCAUAUUUAGUCUAUAAGACUCUGAGAUAGGCUCUGAUACUAGCUUCUUUUCUUCUAGAUAAGUAGAAGGUUGGGUGUUUAGCAAAGCUUCUAAAUCAUGUGGUAAGUACUAAGUGGCAGAUCUUAGAUUUAAACCCAGUACCUUAGAUCCACACGUCAAGCUUAUAACACCAGCAGCAACUGGUGUUGCAACCCAUAGUUAUUAGAUGUAUUUUUCCCGAGUGGCUGGCUAUAUGCUAUGAUUGUAUCUUCCUUAGGUUGGUCAAGCAUGGAAACACUAUAUUCCAUGCAGUAUCAGAUGUAGAAAUGCUUUCAGUUUUCCUUUAAUUUUUAAAUACACAAGGAAAAACUUUCAAGAUUACACUUGUGACAAAAAUGUUCUUUUACAAUAGAGAGGAAAAGAAACCAAAGAAAACUCUUGCUUAGAGUGACACUGUGUAUAUAGGGAAGAGAAAGGAAACACAAUGCAUGUACCAAUAACACUCAUGGGAGAGAGGUCUGGAUUGUUUGGUUCUGUUCUGAAGCACAGAUCACAUGGCAUGUCGAGCUAAGGAUUUUUUUACAGAAGUCGUACAACUUAUGUAUUUGGAUGGAAAAGUGAAUUAAUCAUUAUAACUCCCUGAAUGAACACUUCGUAAGAAGUGAGAACCGUUUCCCUUCAAUGUCUCAUACUCUAACACUCACUCAAGAAGGAGAAGUCUGAGCAGAGAAUGGUUGUCACAAAAGCCUUUGAGGGAAUGUGUUUCUGAGUGAGUGUGCCUCAUAGACAGGACCCAACAUUUCAUUUCAUCCUCCUGAUAACACCACAAAGAGAAGGCGGUAUAACUUCCAUUUGCACAGUUUUUAAAUAGAUAUCAUUAGACCACAGAGGAAAAGAGGAACCCUUGGACUUUCUACUUAUACCAGUCAUGGUAUUCUCAGCUUUCACUCUAAGAAGGUGAGACUUUAGUGUCUACAAAAGCAAGGAAGACUGUGGGAGUCCUUGGGUUCUCAAAACUGCUGUGUGGUCUUCAGUUUCUCUGCAAGAUGUUCCAAUGACAUUAGCUAAAUAAGGAAAGUGAAAAUGGUUCACAAUACAAAAACAGUAUAAAAGCCUAUUUUUUUAUUCCUCCCAUUUGAGAAUGAAGUGACAGAUGUUGCUGCUGUUUUAAAUUUGGGGCGACAUCAAGGGAAAGCUCCAUGAGAAAAUUCUGAAGGCAGCACAACAUGUUUUCUUGUACAUGAUGUGAAUAUAGGUCUUCACCAGCAUGAUGGGGGAUGACCCCCAUGCUUGACAGUAUAAGCCUCUAAACCCUAGUUACCCAAAGUGAGGCUAUGAGCUAAGAUAUCAUUGAUGCCUGCUGAGAGCUUGUUAGACAUUAGGAAUGAAAGCCUACAACCCAGACUCAGGGGUCAGACUACAUUUUAUCAGGACCUGAGAGCAUUGGAAAAAAAAUCAAGGUUUAAAUAACAGUUAUGAGUGGCCUACUGAUGGUGAAAACCUAUCUCCGUGUGUUCCCAUGAGCUAGAGCUGCAUGGGAAGUGAUUCUAAUGUUGAGUGCUUUCUGUGUCACCAUGAAAAGGUGGUUAGGUUUAACAAGCUGGGCUAUCCUAUAAAUUCAGACUCCUGAUAGAUGGCUGAAUUGAGGACAAGGCUGAGAUUGCACAUUGCUUGAGGUCGAUGUAGCUCCCAGUGAAGCUGGUUGGACAGUAUUAUCCCUGGGAAGCACUACGGUGUAGCGUCUACACUAUCAAGUACCAUCCCAGUUGGAGGGAGUCAUGAGGUCAAGUCCACUUCGAAGUUUAGAAACCUUCCUCAGUAUUGUGGGGAGCCCACAGUCCUCACCAUUCACUGCUCACUCAGAAAUAUCAACACUUUCUUGCAUGUUGUGUCCUGAAAACCAUGUCCCUUGUCUUUCAUCGGAGGUUUUGCGUUUAAUGCAGAAAGUAAUGCUAGUUCAAAGUGUUAUUGGGAAGAGAGAGCUGCCUCCUGUACUGCUGGAUGUUAUUUUCUCUUGGAUCCUCUUCACUUUGAGAGCCUUUGUGAAAUCAUCUCUCCAUCUUUACUCUUUUUAGCUCCCUGGCUGCCACUUCAGAGUGCUAGUUUCCGUGUUGACAUCCGUACUAAUUGCUUUAUUAUUUCAUGAAGAAGUAUUAAUUGCUAAUAUAAUGUUCACUUUCCUCUGAAUUUAUUACUCUUUUUAGUGCAAGUGAAUAUUCUAAUUCUUUCCCAUUUGUGUCCCAACCCCAGUUCCUUUUUUUUUAUUAGAUAUUUUCUUUAUUUACAUUUCUAAUGUUAUCCCAUUUCCUAGUUUCCUCUCCGAAAAUCCCCUAUCCCCUCCCCCCUCCCCCUGCUCCCCAACCCACCCACUCCUGCUUCCUGGCCAUUUCAUUCCCCUGUAUUGGGGCAUAGUACCUUCACGGGAUCAAAAGCCUCUCCUCCCAUUGAUGACCAACUAGGCCAUCCUCUGCUACAUAUGCAGCUAUAGACACCAGUCCCACCAUGUGUUUUCUUUGAUUGGUGGUUUAGUCCCAGGGAGCUCUGGGAGUCCUAGUUAGUUCAUAUUGUUGGUCCUUCUAAAGGGCUUCAAACCCCUUCAGCUCCUUGGGUACUUUCUCCAGCUUCUUCAUUGCGGGAACUGUGCUCUGUCCAUUGGAUAACUGUAAGCAUUCACUUCUGUAUUUGCCAGGCACUGGCAGAGCCUCUCAGAAGACAGCUAUAUCAGGCUCCUGUCAGAAAAAUCUUCCAACCCCAAUUCCUAUACACUCCUUUCUUUUUCCUAUCAGUGGAGAGAGUAAGUUCAUCUUCUGGGAUGGUGUAGAAAAUUUACCUAUAGCACUGGACUUCUGCUUUAUAAUGGUACAUUUAUUCUUUGACACCUUCAUCAAAGUUUGCUAGGUAUCUGAUUUCUCCAAUCCCCUCCUUGAUGAUUUUUUGUUAUUAUUUUAAGUUUAUCUAGUUUUUUUUUAAUUUUUAUUUUUUAUUUAGUUUUAGUUUUAGUUUUUUGGUUUUUCAAGACAGGGUUUCUCUGUAUAGCCCUGGCUGUCCUGGAACUCACUCUGUAGACCAGGUUGGCCUUGAACUCAGAAAUCUGCUUGCCUCUGCCUCCCAAGUGCUGGGAUUAAAGGCAUGCGCCAGCACUGCCCAGAUCAGUUUAUCUAGUUUUAACUCUCCAGGUAAACAUCCUAAAGUUUUCAUGAUCAAAGUCAUUGAUGAAACUAGAGUAAGGAAACAGGCAUGAGAAGAACAUGCUAGAAUGGUUCGUCGUAUCUAAAUCUAUAGUGUGCAUGCCAAGGGAAAUUUCUUUGAUAAAUAUGGAUAGCUUCAGAAUGUCAAAAUCGGUGGAGAAAUGAAUUAUUUGGAUCCUAUCCUUACAAUGGUACAUUGGUUUAAGAGAAUCCAGUUAUAGAUGCAUUGCAGUCUCAUUUCCAAUAUUUUUUUGGUGUGGCAGUCACCAACACCACACAAACCAUGCCUAUCUAUAGCAAAUCCCCUGUUCCUACUUUCAGAGCAUUAGUUACAAGAGUCACACCUGCUUAAGUAAGGGGACAAACAUCCAUCAGGACAGCUGCACCAAAGAUAGGUAAGUAGCAGGAACAACCCAUCUUCAGGUCAGGUCAGGAAACACAGCCUUUCUAAUGCAGGUACGGGACCCAUAGGGCUUAUACCCUGGGCAGCAGUACAUUUGAAACAAUAAAAUGAAGGAUUUUCCGGAAUCUGACACUUCUCACGUAAGGGUGUUAGUGUCAUGGCAGUCUUCCUAACCACACAAAGAUCUUAACUUUAUUAAUUCUGUCAGUUGUUAAAUACCUCUAGCAUUUCUUAUACUAACAGUCAAACCUAACUUUGUUUUCCAGAGCCCAGGGAACAUACCCAGAACAUGGCCCCUCAGUAGAGCUUUUCCAUCAACAACAAUGUAAACUUUGACAUUGGCUUCUGCAUAUAACAACGCCCUGUUUGUUCUCUAGCAUCUUCAAAGUAAAUCACUCUGGAGACAAUAUAGCACAUGGCUUUCUUUCCGGACAAGCAAUGAAGAAGUCAUCUUACAGAUGAGAAGGAGCCAUGGGAAACACUGGGCUCUUGUUAGAGGUGAUCAUUCUAACUUCACAACAGAGGUCAGAGCCAACUUGAAUAUGUAAGAGUGUUCAACCAAGUAUCUGAACUGCAGUAUGCCUGCCAAAUAACAUGUGAGGAGUGUCAGAGCCACAGGAACAAGUCAUAUAGAUGAGAUACGGGAAUGAGUGAAGGCAUGUCUGGGGCCAUUGCAGUCACCUCUCAGAGUCAGAUGAGAAACUGCCACUCGAUAAACACUGUUAACAUAGGAAAGAUAUAGGCAAAAUUUAAGUCACCCAGAGAUAACACUGAACAUUCUCAUUGUGUCUUCCAGCCUUCUUUCCUAUGAGUAUUUAACACAGUUGAGAUGAUAGGUAGGUAGGUAGAUAGAUAGAUAGAUAGAUAGAUAGAUAGAUAGAUAGAUAGAUAGAUAGAUAGAAAGAAAUUUCCCUCUCCCUCCUUGUCUUUCCUGGUAUGGCUAACAUUAGGUGUUGUCAUAACUAUAUUAAGGAAUGGCCAAGUAGCAGAACAUUCAUUCUGGGGUUGUGAUUGUGUGUCCACAGAAGACUGCUUUUCUCUGUGAUUUGAGUGGAGAAGAUCCUUCCUCAAUGUCGGGUGUGACAUGCACCUGGCUGGGACCCAGAUAUAGUGUGAAGAAAGCUACUUCCUCUCUCUCCUUCUCUCUUUGGAAGACAGGGAGAGUCGUUUCUGCCUGCCUCAGAUAUAUGAUCUCUGGCUUCUGACUUCUGUGGCUUAAACAAAUGGCCUUGAGUUUUCAGCCUUUGGUCUCUGAGUAUGCUUAAAUCAUUAGCAUCAAAUGUCUAAGCCUUUGGGACUUGAAACUUGUCACUUCUCCUCAGUGUCCCCAGCUAGCAGAUAGCCUAUAAUGGAACUUCUCUGCCUCGAUAGUCAGGUGAGCCAACUGCUCUAAUAAGUUCCUUUGCAUCUAUCUAUAAUUUAUACCUACUUCUAUACCUGAAUGUGUCUGAUGUGAUAUAUAUGUUUCCAGUUUAUCUACCCUCUAUCUUAUAUCUCUACCUUUAGGUCUCUUAGGAGAAUCCUAACUAAUACACUGCCUCCCUUUCCCCUUCUCUUUUCUGUCUUGAUCCCCGGAGUACCCUCAAUAAUCUGCUUGCAUGUUAUAAUCCUUAGCCAAGUCAGUUUUCUGGGGAGUCAGAAUAAUUUUUUUUAAAAAACAAAGAUAUUUACUCUCUGAUUGUUUAUUGAAACUUUUUCAAGUCAACUUCAAUUCCAAAUUAUUAAAAUCUCUCAAAUAAAAGGAUAUUAAAAAUUUUGAACUCUAAAUUUUUAUUAAACUAUUGAGCACCUACUACAGAUCAUCUACUUUGCCAAGGGACUGAAAAUAAAUGGUUAAAGAGACAUAGUUAUAGUCAUUGAUUAUAAUUACUAUAAUGUGUGUGGGGUGUUAAAAAUACAUAUUUGCAUUGUGUGUUAUGAUAAGUUUUGUGGUAUGAGUUGGCUGUGUGUGGUCAUUCACUGCUGUGUUUUAUAUGUGGUGGGCUCGAAUGAGAAGUAUAAUGGAAUAGCUUAACAUGUGAUGUGAAGUUAGAAACAAGUAUAGGGCCACUGUGCAUAGAAAGAUCUUAUUCUUUUAUUUCUACACUGCAAGAGAAUGCCGUAUGCCACUUUUACAGAAGCAGUUUUAUAUACAAAUCUAAGAUUGCUAACAAGGUAAAAUACUGCAUAAAUUUCAGGGUAAAAAAAGCUUUAAGAAACCAACCUUAUCGCGCAUGUUAUACAAUUUCUAAUAUAAAUGACUAUCUCUACAUAAUAGUAAUAAUAGAUCUAUUUUGGAAAAAAUGAUUUUUUAAAUUCUACUGCAGAUAUUAAGUGAAUAUAUUGAAUAAUUUUAACAAUAAAAGCAAGAUCUCUUUCUGUUUUCAGAUUGUUUGAAAAUACCAUUAAUCUCUUUAACCACCCUUUUAAAUAAAAUAUUUCUAAGUUUGUUUGAAAUUUUUAUAUUGAAUACAAUGUAAGAUAUCUCCAUAAUCACGCUGACUCUGAAGUCCAUUCAUAGUCAUAGUUAUGCUAAAGACUUACCGAACCAACCCAGCCUGGCCCUUUGUUUAGCACAGGCAACCAGUUUCCAAACUCAGCUGUUUAACUCUAGUCCCUUGGGGAUAUUGCUUCUUAUUGAAUCAUUUUCCCCGUGAGUUUCUCUUAAGCACCGAAGCAGAGUUAAAAAUAGAUCAAAGAUGGCUCAAAUCAUGUGGAACUGUAGUGCGCAUCUCUUGUUUAUGAACUACAUAAGGUUUGUCCUCAUUUGUCUCCUUUUCUGAGCAGCUACAAAUAAAAUGAUCUUCACUGAAAGAGGCUUCUCCUUGUCCAACCAUUUGACAUUUUAACUGAAAUUAAAUAAUCUCUUUAGUAACCUUGCGGAAAUAACAGUCUUUUAAAAUAAAAUCUGAUUUUCUUUUAAGCAGUCAUAGUGAGAUGAAGAUAUCUGUGCCUUCGGCAAGGCAUGUAACCCUUGAUAUUUGAACAAGAUCAUAUUCAGAGUUCGUGAUGGAGAACCCACACAAUCCCCUUACCAAAACACAUAAAUAAAUAAAAUAGCAAUACAUAAAUUUUAGUACCUUUGAUUUCCCAGGUCUCAGUAGCAGUGUCUGCAGAAUAUCUCUUUGGCACCAUUUACUUACUGCCAGCACCCAUUGCCCAGAUAAGCACCAUGCAUGUAAUGUUCCGUUUUCUUUUUGUUGUUAUUGUUGUUUGUGUUUUAAGUUUUUAUUAUAUUUAUUUAUUAUUGUGUGAAUAUAUGCGUGCACCACGGUGUGCAUGAAGCUCAGAGGAAAACUUGGGGGAAUCAUUUCUCUCCUUCCAUCCUGUGAGUUCUGGGAAUGGAACUCAAAUCGUCAGCUUGGCAAGCGGUGUCUAUCUACUGAGCCUUCCCUGGAGCCCCGUGGCUUUUUUUUUUUUACACUUUUUAUUUUUUUAAUUGGGUAUUUAUUUCAUUUACAUUUCCAAUGCUAUCCCAAAAGUCCCCCACAGGCUCCCCCACCCAUUCCCCUACCCACCCACUCCCACUUCUUGGCCCUGGCAUUCUCCUGUACUGAGGCAUAUAAAGUUUGCACAACCAAUGGGCCUCUCUUUCCACUGAUGGCCAACUAGGCCAUCUUCUGAUACAUAUGCAGCUAGAAACACGACCUCUGGGGGGAGGUACUGGUUAGUUCAUAUUAUUCCACCUAUAGGGUUGCAGACCACUUUAGCUCCUUGGAUACUUUCUCUAGCUUCUCCAUUGGGGGCCCUGUGAUCCAUCUAAUAGCUGACUGUGAGCAUCCACUUCUGUGUUUGCCAGGCUCCGGCAUAGUCUCACAAGAGAAAGCCAUAUCUGGGUCCUUUGAGCAAAAUCUUGCUAGUGUAUGCAGUGGUGUAAGUGUUUGGAAGCUGAUUAUGGGAUGGCUCCCCGGAUAUGGCAGUCUCUAGAUGGUCCAUCCCUUCGUCACAGCUCCAAACUUUGUCUUUGUAACUCCUUCCAUGGGUGUUUUGAUCCCAAUUCUAAGAAGGGGCAAAAUGUCCACACUUUGGUCUUCGUUCUAGGGAGCAAAAACCAUCCAGUGGAAAAAAGACAGUAUUUUCAACAAAUGGUGCUGGCACAACUGGUGGUUAUUAUGUAGAAGAAUGCAAAUUGAUCCAUUCCUAUCUCCUUGUACUAAGGUCAAAUCUAAGUGGAUCAAGGAACUCCACAUAAAGCCAGAGACACUGAAACUUAUAGAGGAGAAAGUAGGGAAAAGCCUUGAAGAUAUGGGUACAGGGGAAAAAUCACUGAAUAGAACAGCAAUGACUUGUGCUGUAAAAUCGAGAGUCGACAAAUGGGACCUCAUAAAAUUGCAAAGCUUCUGCAAGGCAAAAGACACUGUCAAUAAGACAAAAAGGCCACCAACAGAUUGGGAAAGGAUCUUUACCUAUCCUAAAUCAGAUAGGGGACUAAUAUCCAAUAUAUAUAAAAAACUCAAGAAGGUGGACUUCAGAAAAUCAAAUAACCCCAUUAAAAAAUGAGGCUCAGAGCUAAACAGAAUUCUCACCUGAGGAAUACCGAAUGGUAUUCUCAGCCAGAGAAGCACCUGAAAAAAUGUUCAGCAUCCUUAAUCAUCAGUGAAAUGCAAAUCAAAACAACCCUGAGAUUCCACCUCACACCAGUCAGAAUGGCUAAGAUAAAAAAUUCAGGUGACAGCAGAUGCUGGCGUGGAUGUGGAGAAAGAGGAACACUCCUCCAUUGUUGGUGGGAUUGCAGGCUUGUACAACCACUCUGGAAAUCAGUUUGGCAGUUCCUCAGAAAAUUGGACAUAGUACUACUGGAGGAUCCCGCAAUACCUCUCCUGGGCAUAUAUCCAGAAGAUGUUCCAACUGGUAAGAAGGACACAUGCUCCACAAUGUUCGGUUUUCUUUUCCAAAAUAUUUUCAUCUUGCUCCUGAAGUAAGGAGAGAUCCCAUAAAAUGAGUGUGAUCUUAGGCAAAUCUCUUACAGCCAAUACACACUAAGUAUGUGCCAAUGCCAGAGAGCUCCUCUUUGUCCCAGACGCCUUUGCAGCCACCUUCCUGCAGCUAAGAGGAAGCCUGGUAUUCCAUCUUAAACCAGUGGUGAUACCUACCUCACAAGAAUAGUUCCUUCUCUUCAGUCUGUGUUUCAGUGGCCAGCCAGCAUGUCCAGUUGUCAAGGCUGUUUUCUCUGAUACAUGCUUAGGAAGGGUUGAACAGAGUUCAGCAUCAUUUUGUAAGUGGACAUGUAGGACAAGGUCCCAAUCAGUUCUAAGAUACUGUAUGGAAGCCUUUGUCACUAUCCCCAGACUCUGUAUGUUUUUGGGGUACUUUCUAGAGACUAAUUCUCUUUCUGAUCAGAGCUGUCAGAUUUUCUCUAUUUAAAUUAUGGUGAAUUUCUAAAAUGCCCCCAAAUAGAGGACCAGUUCCUGAAUAUAUAUGAAAUUUCUUCAUGUGUGUGUGUAUAUAUACACACAUACACACACAUUCUUAUACACACACAUACAAAUAUACAUAUAUAAACAUGUACAUACACAUAUGCAUACACAUGCAUAUUACAUAUACAGACAUACACAAACAUAUGAACAUAUAUGUACACAUACACACAGAUAUACAUACAUAUACACACAUGCACACACACACACACAAACACAUGCACAUACACACAAAUAAAGAAAGUUCAUUUCCAACACAAACCACUGGCAAUAGAAGCUCUUUGUUUCCAGAGUUGCCGCACUCUGUGUGAUGAACCUUUAUGCAUGGGUACAUAAUGGGGGCUGCAGCAAGUCAUUCUUUAAGAGCUUUAAGGUUCUGCGAGUCAUCACAGAUCCAAAGAACCCGUGAGUACAACUUGUGCAAGUUGAGCUUCCAGUUAGUUUGACUCUGCCAUGAUGGAUGAUACUGUCACUUGACACACAGUACAAUUGCAGGGGGAACAAUAUGUUCAUUCUUUGUGAACCCUGUAUGAGAUGCCUGAGUGGAGAGACCAAUUCUGGGAGUGAUGGUGAUUGAUCAGUCCCACUGGGAGCUUUCCAACGUGCCUUUCUGAACACGGAUUCCACAGAGUGUUUUAAGAGUCGACUCUAUUAGUAUUGUUGUGGUAUAAUACCAUUUACCACAGCUUACUUACUAGGAAGAAAAAAAAAACCUCUGUUUAGAGAAAUCCUCUCGACCAUCUGAAUUUCCGAAUUCCUGUCAAUGCCACGCCCAUUGUGUUGACUGCGCCCCAGGUACCCAUGGAAGACAUGCAUGUUGCCCUUGCUUGAUGCGCCUUCUAUGUGUCCAUUGUUCUCUGAAAACAGUGGAGGAGAUACCAAGCACAGUCUCACCCUUUCCCAUUGAGAAUAUACAAUAAUAUAUGCAAGUCAGGCUUAUAUGAAAUGCUACGUAUACACAGUAGCUUCAAAGAAUGCCAUCCUUAGUAAGAAACUACCAGAGGGCUGGAGAGAUGUCUCAGUGGUUAAGAGCACAGACUGCUCUUCCAGAGGUGCGGAGUUCAAUUCCCAGUAGCCACAUGGUGACUCAAAACCAUCUGUAAUGGGUAUCCGAUGCCAUUUUCUGCUGUGUCAGAAGACAGUGACAGUGUACCUACAUAUAUGAAAUAAAUAUGGCUGGAGUAGGGCCUGAGUGUGCGGGGCUUUAAAAAAGAAAAGAAAAGAACAAAAGAAAGAAACAAAGAAAGAAUGAAAGAAAUCAAAUGUCUCAGUCGCACUGCAAUAACUGUGGGCACCCACCUUUGGUUCUAUCCAUCCAAAUAAAGUAGACUUUGAAAGGUAACUUUCAGCACCUAGAGGUGAGGAGAGGGAUAAAGGGAGCUUGCUGAAGUGGAGCAAAUGCAAAAGUCUGGAACCUAGGUUAAAAUAUGCUUGUGUGUGUGUGUGUGUGUGUGUGUGUGUGUGUGUGUGUGUGUGUGUAUUUAUCUAUCUAUAUAUAAUAGAUAAAAUGUGCAAUAUAUAACACUAUGUAGCAUGUAAUACAUAAUAUAUAUUUUAUAGCAUAUAAUUAUAAUGUUACAUAAUACAAAAAUUAAAUAAAUAGAUAGUAUGUAAUAUACCAUAUAUCAUAUAUAAAAUAUAAGGAUUGUUUUUAUGUUAUUUAUAUAUUAUGAAUUAUAUAAUAUUAUAUAUUAUGAAAACAUAUAUACACUUAGAUAUUAUAUACAUAUAUUUAUAUAUGAGAUAUGUAAUAUAUACUUAAUAUAAAUCUUUAUGCAGUUAAAUAUGUAAAUGCCACAUUUUGCUACUGUAUAAUUUUAUCUUUAGAUAUUUGCUCCCUUUAAUCUUCUGCCUUAUUGCAAAGAAUGCUGAUAUGAGUAUUAGUAUACAGGUGUAUACUGCCUCAGUCUCUGCCCUUGGUUCUUUUGUGUGUAUAUUCAUGGGUACUGGACUGAAGACCAUACUGCAUUUCACCUUGCAUGUAAAUUUUCUUCUGGCUAAAAUGAAGCUAUAGGUGAUCCUGGCAGGCAGUGAUAUUCAAAGCACUAAGUGUUGGUUCAUACAGAACGUUUAGCAUGCUGGCUCAAGUAUAGGUUAGCAUUGACUGCUCUGACUUGGUCCUAGCCAGCACCCAUAGAUGGCGUCAUGUCAUCCACACCGUCUACAGAGCAAUACUUGUCUUACCUGCCUGCAGUCUGGAAGAAGCCAUGCUUUUUGCCUGUGUGAGGUUUCAGGAUUACUGUUAUUCCUUCAGCUUUGGAUAGUUCUAGCAGAUGAGGUAGCUCAUUGAUCAUACUUACCCAUGACUGAGAUGCAAAAUCAUAAUAGUUAAAUGUAUACUCCACCAGGUUUCUUUUAGGAAAUAAAAUGUGACUAUAUGUUUGAAUUAAUAAAUGCUAAUUUAUCAUGUACAAAGAUAGUAUAUCAGCUUUUACAGCUUACAAGUCUCUCUCUCUCUGAAGCAGCCCACAUGUUGACAGGCAUCUCUUGCUGAAGGGAGUGUCCUGAGAAGGAGGUUUCAACACACAGCACAUUGAACUUGAAAUGGUUGUUGGCCUGCAUAAGAAACUUUUUUUUUUUAAUAUGAAACUCAAACCUGCAAGUAUGGCCACAGCCAACAAGCCUGGAUGCUCAUCCCAGCUUGUUCUUCCUGUGGAAGUUGAUCCUGAAAUAACUUAUUUCCUGUCACUGGACAAAGGUCAACUUACAAAAGAAAAAAAAAUCCUGUCUGCCUUUUCUGACUACCUGAUUUACUAAAAUAGUAAGAUUUAGUCAAAUAUUCCAUUUUAGUUUCUUUGUAUCAAAUUACUAUCCAUAAGAGACUCUGAGAACUAUAAUGAAUUCACAGCAUCGAGCUGAUUCAGGGAACAGGACCAUCGAGGAACAGAAGUUUUAUAUAACUGAAUUAACUCUGCAAGCACCAACUGAGGUACAACAGAAGCAUCAGUGUGCACUGCCACCAGAAAACGUUUAUAGGCCACCUAGUGUACUAGGGACAAUAACUGUGUUAACAUGAAUAGAUGGUUUGUUGAAAAGGAAGAAGAAAAGGAAAAGGUGGGCUUUAGUAGAGAUGAAUUUGUCUAGGAGACUAGACAAAAGCUACUCUCCUCCAUUUGCCUCCAGCUCAGACUUCAAAUUACCUAUAAUCCCUUUGAGGGUGGAGGAUUUGUUGAGGAGAGAGACAAUUAAAGCAGCACUCUUUGUGUCACCAUCCGUGUCCCCAUAAAGCCUAGGGGACUGGGAUGUUCCUCAUCAGACCUUCCAGACAUAAAUGAACAAUUAAAGUCCCUUGGUUGCUGAUGCCAAAUUCCCUUCUCCAGGAACAAAAGUAUUUCAGUCUGCCUGCAGCUUACUACAAAUGCACUUUUGGGUCCCGGCUUCAGUGUGAUUACAUUUGAGUUGGGGUGUAGUGAGUCCAGCGAACAACUCAAAUCCUUCCUGUUUCAUUCAGACGUGAGAGGUCAUGUGCUGUUCUGAGAGUCUUGGUGGAAGGGACUGCGCAGAAGAGUCAGGGGUAGGUGGUGGUGGGGUGGGGAGGCAUUUAAGGUGUGAAAUGCCAGGGAAUUGGAUUAAAGAUGCCAGAGUGAGUUUCCAGCUUCCUCCCCUUUCCUUUUGCCUUUAGCUGAGGAAGUUCCUAAAAGAGCCUGCCCUUCCUUAAGAGGUCCCCCCCACCUUUUCCUGAACAAGCAUUUCUGCCUAUGGUGAUUUAUGAGGAUCACUUUUGAAACAUGGCUGGAUUUGUAUAACCAGGGGAUUAAUUAGCUGAAGAUUCACAAUAGCAUAGAUAAAGCACCAGAAACCUAGAGCCAUGAUUGGAGGCCUCCCUUCAGCCAACACAUGGUGGAGAGAGAAUGUGAAGCCCAGAGAAUCCAGCUCCCUGUAGAGCCAAGGCAGCUCACUGUGUGAUAGCUGCAGGCAGGGCAGAGAAGAGAGUCUGGAUUUGGAAACAUAAAGAGAGGCCAAGCCUUCAGAGGCAGAAGAGAAAGCCUGCUAAGUACUGCCUUUAUAGACAGCAGUGAAUAGUCUCAUUGUAUCCUACCCUGAAAUGACAGGGGAUUGUCCUUUGUUAUAGUCAUCAAAGUUACUCUCUUAAGAGGUGUGGCCUGUAGCCUAUAACACCCUGAGCUGAACCAAUAAAUGUGUGAUUACCCUGGUCAGGAGCUCUGACAUUCAAAUAUAGCAUUGAAGGUCCCUGUGUGUGUGCAAAAGUUUAGAGUCACCAUGUUAUUGGAAUUAUGGGAAAUCUGAUCACGGUUGUAAAAUGAUAUGGGGAAACUGAUGUCUACAUUUGUGAUUCUUAGCUUCGGUAAUAAAAAUAUUCAAGAAUGGACUCAAACAGAAGCACCAGUACAGUUAGGUUUAGUUUAAAGGAGAAACCUUAGGGCAAAGAAGCUGUACAUCUUAGCAGCGGCUACUUUAGUUAAGCAGGCAGACACAAGAUAGACAAACAGCCACAUGGCAGGAAGGAUAACUGUAGAAGAAAGGAAUGAAUCCAAAGUACCAGAAAAAUAUACUUAGGUUCUGGGCAGCAUCCAAAAAAAAAAAAAAAAAAAAAAAGGAAGGAGGAGGAGGGGGGAAGGAGGAGGACGAGGAAAGAAAGAAAAAGAAGAAAAAGGGGAAAAGGAGAAAGAGAAAGAGAAAAAGAGAAAGAGAAAAAGAGAAAGAAAAGAAAGAGAAAAAGAAAAAAGAAAAGGGAAAGGUGUAUCCUUCUUAGGGAGACUAUUGUUGGCCACACCCAGUGGAACUCAUGACUACCUCAUAGUGCCUGGUAAGAAUUGUGAUAACUCUUUGUGUGUGUGUGUGUGUGUGUGUGUGUGUGUCUGUCUGUCUGUCUGUCUGUCUGACUGUGUGACUGAGUGAGUUGUGUGGGUAUGUGUUUGUAUGUGUUGUGGUGGGAGAAAGAUCAUGGGAUGGAGAGGUACAUUAUCUCAUUAAAGAAAUAACCAUGACCCCCAUCUCUUUAGCAUGAUUUAAGGUGAACCUACCUUCUUUGGAGUGCUCCCUGGGGUAAAUGAUAGAGCAGAUCCAUCUGGAAUGUUAGGUCUCUACACAGGCCACUGAUUCUGUUCUCCUGAGCAGGACUUGCCCCUUGAUGGCCUUUCCUGUGCCUUCACAAACAGUUACCAUGCAUCUUUCUGUAUCUACAGUUCUGUUCUAAUGCAUAUGUGUGCCUACGUUUACCUUUGUGGCUAUGUCUGUAUUCUUGAGUUAAAAAUAAGAAAUCUUUUUAAGGCUCAAAACCAAAGUCAUGAGAUUAUAAAAAAUGAUCUCCCAUGAAGUGAGAAAAUCAACACUAAUAUCCUUUCCCUCGUUAACCCAAAUAGUAAAGACAGGUUUGAAUUAGAACUUGAGGUGUCCCUGGAGAAUGUUUGCUUCUUAUCUUUUGUAAUCAUGUUAUAUAUUAAAUAUUCAAUAUGGCCAGAAAACAAUUAAGAGUUUUAUGCCUUCUACAAUGCCAGUGAUAUUAGAUAAACUUUCAACAAGAAUAAUUGAGAAACUGUACUUCAUUGCUUUCACUGGUAAGCACAUUUGAAAAACAGGGCUCAACCUGUGGUGGUUGUAGCAGAUGAAGGCAGCUUCAUAAAGCAAGGUAAAGAGAGGUCCGUCUUACAUCAAACACACACUGCAUGGUGACUAUUAAUUCCUUCAUCACAGACUGAGAGGGUUAAAAUGAUAAACAUCAAACAGAAAGGCAGGUAUUACACAGCAUGGAGUCUAAAGUUGUCACAAACAAAUUUCUGUGUCUGCGCAUGUGGGGAUAGCAUGUAAAUUUUGUGUGGCAGACAUAAUGGAAGUGUAAUUUGCUAGUUAGUGUCGGCAAUGAAUGGAUGAAUGAAAAGGGUAAGAGUUGGAAGGGAACACAAGAGCAGUCUGUCUUGGCUCUUUGAUUCUGGACAGGUCAUCUUACAGACAGGCCUUAGUUCUUAUUUGAAAUUAGUGAGUAUCCUUAUAGCUACAGAAUCAUAAGUUUCUAAUAGCAAUCCCCCGACACAAUCUGUUGUUGUCUUCCUGUCCUCCCAACGCACCGGCAUGAACCACAAUCAACUCUAGUUUCCAAGUCAGAACAUCCCACCCAGGCUCUAUCUGCAGGGAGACAAUAUCAAAUCAGCACUCACAAUGAGGGUGGACUGCAUACAGCUGUCAGCUCUGUCUCCAUGUGAAUGAGACUCUGUCAGUGCAAAUUGAAACUGCACAGGGUCCAGAGCUAUCUUACCCUGGAUUUCCUUUUCCUUGUCUCCACAGCCAGCUCGUGGCAGAGUGCCAGGCAGGGCCACAGCAGGUAUCUGACUCCAUUGUUCAAGAAUAAUUGAAUCCCCUUAUUCCAUAUAGAAAAUACACCACUCUUGGAUGGUAAAGGAGAAAAAAAAAUGGAUACAUGAAAAAUGCCGUGUGAUAAAUUCUAUCUCUACAUGCUAUGCAUGUACAUAGAUUAUUGAAUUGAAAUAUAUACACAUUUUAGCUAAAAUCUAAGUAAAUGAUGGGAACUUGUUUUAAAUGUAUGUCUCACUGACAAUUCUAAAAGCAGGAAGUUAUGAAAAGUUAUAAUUGAACUAUUUGACAGGGUUAUGUUAUAGGCUGGAGUUGUCAUGUUAGAUGAUAUUAAAUGCAUAGAAUUUUUUUAAAUUCCAUGGUUCUAUCUUCAUUGCUUUCUUAAUCCACAAAUGCUGGCCAUAUUGAAUAUUUAAUAUAUAGCAUGAUUACAAAAGAUAAGAAGCAAACAUUCUCCAGGGACACCUCAAUAAUUAAUAGUCACCAUGCAGUGUGUGUUUGAUGUAAGAUGGACCUCUCUUUACCUUGCUUUAUGAAGCUGCCUACAUCUGCUAUCACCACCACAGGUUGAGCCCUGUUUUUCAAAUGUGCUUACCAGUGAAAGCAAUGAAGUACAGUUUCUCAAUUAUUCUUAUUGAAAGUUUAUCUGAUAUCACUGGCAUUGUAGAAGGCAUAAAACUCUUAAUUGUUUUCUAAUGGAUAUCUAACAUUGGCAUUGUAGCCUUCACUCCGAGAACAGCCUCGUGCCAGCUUUGGUGGGAAUACAGCAUAACCCUUGCUUGACAACCAACACUUCGUGUGUAUUAACAUGAUGCCCAGUUUCUUCUAGAACUUUACUUGAAGCUAAACAUGUGUGACAAACUGUUGAAGGACGCUUACAAGAGUAAAAGAAAGUUAACUGUGCAUGUGAUGAUUACGAUGGUGAAGACAAGCAUUCCAUGAGCAGUUACCUGGAGCCAAGCCUUGUGCUCAGGCUGUUGUGUGGAUUAUUUUCUUCAGUCUUUAGAACUCCAUAGGAAAAACAAGAAUAUCAACCAACCAGACUCCCCAGAGCUCCCAGAAACUAAACCACCAACCAAAGAGUACACAUGGACCCAUGGCUCCAGCCUCAUAUGUAGCAGAGGAUGGCCUUGUUGGGGCUCAAUGCCCCAAUGUAGGGUGAUACUAGGGAGGUGAGGUGGGGGUUGGGGUGGGUGAGUGUGGGAGCACCCUCAUAGAAACAGGGGGAGGGGAGGGGAUAGGGGUUUGCAGAGGGGAAACUGGAAAGGCGGUAACAUUUGAAAUGCAAAUAAAUAAAAUAACCAAUAUAAAAGAAAUAAUAAUAAUAACAAAAUAGAACACCCAAAGUAAGAGCUGUUGGUAAAUUGCAUAAGAAUAAAAUUAAUUUAGGUGAGGUGGGGGGGGGGUUGGUAUCUGCAGAUGUGAUGUAUCCCCAGGUGGGACUGUCCCCAGUUGGCCUUUGCUUCAGUCUCUGCUCCUUUUUUUGUCACUGUUCUUCCUUUGGACAGGAGCAUUUCUGGAUUAAAAAACUUUGAGGUGGAUGGAUGGCCCCUUCCCUCGACCAGGGGCCUUGCCUAUGUACUGGAAGUGAUCACAACAUGUUGUCUCCCUAUUGUCAUUCUUUACUACACAAAUAGCCAUUGGGGAUAGGAGGGAAUGAGGGACUGAUGCCUCUAUGCCUCGGUCCCACACUCUUGCUUUUCCUUCCAUUCACUCUCCAUCCAUCUCUCUAUUCAGCAAUCCAGGGAAUUACUUUUAAACUUUCUUUUUGUAUGCUGUGGCUCAUUGAGCUUACAUGCUAUUCUGAGGAGACAAGAAUUAAUCUGGCAAGUAAGGACGUAAAGUCCAGAUGAUAUCAAGUGUAACUCACGCUGCUUCAGAAAGUUCUGUGGAGGAAGCCAUGAUGCCAGUGUUCUAGGUCUUAGUCCUGUGCUAACUAGAAGCUGACUAGAAAGAAUAAAGCCACAAAAAAAAGAAUGAAAAAAAAAAAAGAAUGAAUGAAAAAUAAGUAAAUAAGCCUUCAUGUCAUGGUGACCAAGGAUGGGAACUUCCAGGGUUGCUUAGAACAGAUGAGUGAUGUCUGGGAAAUAUUAAAUAUGCCAGCAAGAAGCAUUGCCAAGGUCGUCAAAACCAUGGGACAAAAGUCCAAUUAAAGACCCUGACAUUUACCCUAAGUAGUGGAGAAAGUUUUGGAAAGCUCUUUUGUAAUAGAGUAUGUGAACAGUUUCUGUGGAGGCGAGAUCUGUCCACAAGUCCAGUGGUGCUGUUGUGAGUGUGUGCUUGCUGGCUGUACUGGGAAGGAAUGGCUGCCAAGCGUUACUGGUCCAGUGACAUCACACAAGCAAUGAGAGCAUCAGUUAUGCUUCUGAGGAACCACGAUUAGCUCAAUAUUUUCUCUUUUUUCUCUCAAUAUGCUACAACUGAAACUUUGCACUCACAGCCUGACUCAUCCCAAGACCGCUUCUCCCUAGACCCUAGCAAUCACUGCCCUAAUAUUAUUCUCUGAGUUUCAAUAUUGGAGAUCGUAAAUCAAUCAGUGUUUGGUGUGUGUGUGUGUGUGUGUGUGUGUGUGUGUGUUUGUGUGUGUCUGUGUGUGUCUGUGUGUGUCUGUGUCUGUGUGUGUAUCUCAUGUAAGAUAUUCUGGUGAAAAUAAUGCCAUAUUGUGGGCUUGAAACUUCUUACAAGGGUAGGCACUACAUAUUCUUACUACGUACACACAAAAAGUAGAAAGAAAACUAUGACUGUAUGUGUUACGGAUGUGUUAAUUACUCGGUGUUGUAAUGUAUAUAUUUAUGAGAGCAUGUGUUUGGAUACAUUUGAUAUGUAUACUUUCUUUAUUUUAUUCAGAAGAUUUUCCUUGAGUACAAAAAUCACUUAAACUAGAGCUAUACUAUCAGAAAUUUAAGAAUGUAAACCAUCUGAGGAAUCUCUUAAUGUAAUUUUGCAUGCUUACUUUGUUUAGUUUUCGUGUGGGUAGGUACAAGAAUUUGCUUUUCUUAAAUUUCUUCUUCCUGACUGGGCAGUGGUGACUCACGCCUUUAAUCCCAGAACUUGGGAGGCAGAGGCAGGAGGAUUUCUGAGUUCAAGGACAGCCAGGGCUGCACAGAGAAACCCUGUCUCAAAAAAAAAAAAUUCUUGUUCCAAGAUUUACUACCAAGAUUCUUAGUAGUAUAUAUAAAAUAGACAAAUUUUGAACAUGAAAUUGUCAGUAUUUUAAGAAAUAGGAUAGGCACAUGAUUUAAGUGUGUUUGUGCUCAGGUCUUAGUGUAUAAUUGACAUAUUUCAUAGGGAAUGUAUCUACAAGUGGUCAAAUACUUCUUAUUAAAAAUCAAGAAUUCUGGAAUUCAUUUUAACAUUAGAAAGUAAUUAUAAUAAUACACUUGCCUGACUGUGUACAUUCACAUAAGCAUCUGACAUAAAAUCAUUUUAUAAUUUUUGUAAAAAUAACUAUAUAUUUAAUGGUUUAUAAAAAUGUAUGUAGCAGAGGAUGACCUAGUCAGUCAUCAAUAAGAGGAGAGGCCCUUGGUCCUGUGAAGGUUGUAUGCCCCAUUAUAGGGGAAUGCCAGGGCCAGGAAGCAGGAGUUGAUAGGUUGGGGAGCAGGGCAGGGGGAGGGUAUAGGGGACUUUUGGAGAGGAAACUAGAAAAGGGGAUAACAUUUGAAAUGUAAAUGAAGAAAAUAUCUAAUAAAAAAUUAACAUUAAAAAAAUAAAAAUAAGGCCGGGCAGUGAUGGUGCAUGCCUUUAAUCCCAACACUUGGAAGACAGAGGCAGGCGGAUUUCUGAGUUUGAGGCCAGCCUGGUCUACAGCAUGAGUUCCAGGACAGACAGGACUACACAGAGAAACCCUGCCUCAAAAAACCAAAAAUAAAUAAAUAAAUAUGUAAAAAGUAGAUAAACCUUAAUAAGUUUAAAUGUUGGAAUUUUCAGUUUUGCAUAUUUAGGCUUCUUUGCCACAUUAUUAAUUUUUCUGUAUUAUUUCGUCUCUAUUUACAUUUCUCAACCAGCUUAUUACUUUCUGCAAAAACAUGGGGGGAAAUCCCUGCUAUUUUCAUAGAAAUUGUAAUCCAUCUGUAGGUUUACUUAAUGGGUGCUGUCAUCGUUACAGAACUGGAUUUUCCAGUUUAGGGACACGAUCAGUGUUUGUAUUGUUCUAGAUUGUCUUCAAUUUUUGAACACUUUCAUGAAAAUUCUCAUGCUAAAUAAUUUACACAUACCUUAGUAAAUCCACUUUUAAAUAUUUUGAUGCUUGUUUGGGUAAAAAUCAUAUUUCAUCUUUAUUUUUGGAUGCGUUCAUUUUGGAAUGUUAAAAUAGUUUUUUCUCUAUAAUGGUAUCAGAAAGUUUGCUGAGCCUGAUUUGUCAGUGUGAGCUUUGUUUUCUGUACUUUUAGCAUUUAUUAUUUUCAAGAUAAUAUCAACUGUAAGUUGGGGAGACGUUUAUUCUUGCACACUCUUGUCUAGAUGCUGUUAUUUCUGUCUCGUGCCUAAUUGCCUCGGUCAGGACUUCCUUCCCUGUGUUAAAUGGAAGUGUUGAGUAUGCCCUUCCUUUAUGAUUAUAAUGUGCUGUAAGAGGGAUUACUCAUAAUUACAUAUAAAUGACAAAUGAGGACUGUGCGGGCACUUCCUGUUUUUUUUUCUCUUCAUUAUUGAAUUGCUCUGUAGCUGUUACACUUUAUGUUAGGCAGAUGCUUUAACUGAAUUAAAAUAUUAAUAAGCUUUCUACUCACUAUGGUAAAAGGUUCCAUAAUUAGAUUUUUAUAGAUGCUGUAGCUACUUCAAACCCUUUUCAGAAAAGUUGCACCUUUGAAUAUUUAGAUUUUUCCCUACAGGCAACACACACAUUUCUGCUAGAAUUCAAAUAGGACUGUAGUUUAAAAUCUCAAUGUAGUGCUAUAUUCACUAAAAGGCAUACAAUGUAGUAUUGCAACACUCACAUAAUGGCACACUUAUGGAUUGUUUUCAUGUCAGGGAUUCUCAAAUUCUAAGAAAUUUGAAGAUGCAUUAUAACACAGAACAUGAUACAAGCCAACUAAACAUGUUUGUAGAGUAUACGAUCGAACCCUCUUAGGUGCCAAUUAAAUAACCAUAUGCAGUAACACAUGCUACCUCCUGGAGCAGAGUCCCUUCUGGUUACAGGACAUCAGAAACUUGAUUUCCACCUGAGACACAAUUCCGUUCUUCCUGAUUUUCCAUACUGCAGUAGUGAGCUCUUGGCAAUACAAAGAGGAUAUAGCUUCGUUCUGUCUGCAGAGUCUCACAUCCUUAACUUUGCUGUGUCAUUUUUAUUGUACAAGGAAAUGGAUGGGCUAAUUUCUCAGGCAACAUGCUGCAGUGUCCCUGGUGCUGAGAAAGUACAGAGAAUGAUGACCGCAGUGCUUAGCAGAGCUUAGGGGACCUCCUGUACAUUAGAGGAUUUGUUUCGUGGGUGUGGAUCACUAGGGUGAGUGUUUAUAGGCCCUUUGCUUGCUUUUCCUUUCAGGAAAUGUCACUGAUUCUGUUUCAUGUACAAAAGUAUGUGGAACAAACUUUGGCAGCCAGUCUUUACACAUGGUUUCAGAUCCAAAAGUAUUUGAAUAUGUGUCCUAGUGACAGCACUGCCUAUGUAUAUACCUGUCUUCAGUCAGGCGGCUCCAGGUCGUUGUUCCCCACAGACAUCCCAGUCGCCAUACUUUUGUGCCAGAGCCUGUGCACACUUAUGCUCCACUGACUUUGGAGGUCACACCAUGGCAUUUCAAAGACAAGAAAAAAGUAAUGUUUUAGACAUUUUAGAGAGUAAACUAAACCUGAUGGCUGGUCACAGGUGAAGCAAGCUGUGUAGUUGCACACAGGCAGAGUGAAUUUUAAAUGUUAGUGUUAUUUUCAUGCACAUUUAGUUUGAGUCAUACAGCAUCUUCCAUGUGACUACCUACAGGCAAUACUCACAAACAGAGUAAGAUAAGUGACCUCCUUCUAGAACAAGAUACGUACUUGUAAACAUUAGUUCAUAAAAUCUAGAUCAUUUUCUUAGAACCAAGAUGUGGGAUUCAUUUCAAAUAUGUGCACACAUGCGUACUUGUCUUUAGUCUGGCCAGUACAUCUACAUACUUUGUAUCACCAUGUAUUUGGAUUAAAAGAACAUUUACCAAUCUAUGUACUCUAUGUUGGUGUGUGUUCUACAGUGCACAUGGGAAAUCAGAAGAAAACCUGAAAGAGUCUAUACUCUUCUGCCUUGUCAUCCCAACUAUCUUACUCAAAUACUCAAGCUUGGUGUCAAGUACCUUCACCCACUGAGCUAUGUUUUUGGCCUUCAUGUAUUUUUUAGUAUCUCUCUAAUUAGAUUGGCAAUGCAUUUUUGGAUCUUUAAUGGUAUAUACAUAAUAAUAUUAAAUGUGGCCUUUUAUAUUAUGUAAUGUGAUAUUAACAUAUAUUAAAUGUUACAGAAAUAUUAGGGGUUGUUAAAUAUCUGAAAAGAACCUGCACUAGAUAAAGAAAUAUAGAAUAGAUUGCUUCUUAAAAUGCUCUUCAAUUUAUUAGCUAGAAAAUCAGGGACAAAAUCAGCAAUACCAGUUGGGGUUGAUCCAUAUCAUGCCUUUGCGUAUGUUCUACUCAUCUUUCAUUAGUCGAUUUUAACUCAGUAGUAACUAGACCUGUCUAUACCUGUAAGAACGUGGCUGUGGUGUGGUGAGUGUUAUGUAUGGCUGGGAUGUAGACAGGCAGAGUUGCAGUCCCCACACUGGUCUGUUUGCCCAUGCCCACUCAUAUAUGCCUGCAGUGAACAUCCCUGUGCAGACUAACAUCGCCGUAGAGAAAGCAGCAGUGGGAAUGGAGUUUUCUCUCUUUGGAAGUAGACAGGUUCAUUCUGACCACAGGAACAGAAAGGGAGAGGGAAUCUAGGACUUUUACAAAACCUCAUUUGAGUUAGGGUGCUUGAAGGAUCUGUUGGGUUCAUCUACUUGUAUUCAAAGCCAAGGUAAUUAAUUCAUGUAGCCUGUCAUCCCUGUCUUCUCACCUUUUCUCACCACACGUGCUGCCAUGAAGAAAUCCUGGGUCAGCAGAGAUCCCUGCAUCAAUGAAAGGGCUACCAUUGCUCUUAUUAAUACCACCUCCCAGAGUGGUUGCAUGAAGGCUAAGAGAAGAGCCCCCACACCACAUGCUUAUAAAUGAUGCUUAAUGAAUGAGUUAUGUGCCAAAUGUAAGGAGCAAGCCCAAGUCCAUGUAACAUUAGCAUCGUCACAGGCAGUCAGAGCAGGCAGCCCCUUGCACAGAGUUACAUAUUGACAAUUUCAUGAUCCUUACUGUACAGUUAUUCUUGUGGAAAUCACAAGGCAGAUAUUUUUAAUUGUGUAUGUGAAUGGAAUUUUGUGGGAAUUUAUGGGAAUAAUUUAUGGGAAUGAAUGCUCAAGUGCAGGUGCCCUAAGGAGGUCAAAAUGAAUCCCCUUUGGCUAGCAUUUCAGGUGGCUGAGUGACAUCUGACAACAGUACUUAGAACCAACUCAAGUUCUCUGGAAGAGCAGCAACCGCUCUAACCACUUAGCCCUGCCUCAACCCCUAAUGGAUGAAUUUCUGUUUCAUCAUGUUUUCCUUAGUGAACAGACUGUAUAAACCCAAGGAAGCAUUUCUACUUUCUCUGUGGAGGGACAGACUAGAGAGAAGCAACAGGAAGGACAGAAUUUAUACAAUUGGGGAUAGAUCAGUUAUGCAGCUCACAGGGUUGAGUUAAAAAUGAAGUGUGGGUACCUUUCUCUAAAACUGAGGGUCCAUCUCACUAUGUAUUCUGGAAAGACUUCCCACCAAGGCUGGUGACCUGAGUUUAACUCCUGUGGUCCACAUAAUGGAAGGAGAAGUGCCCCCUUCCCACUGACUUUUGCAAGGUGUUCUCUGACCACAACACCCUUACAUAAAUCAAUUCAAAAUGAACAAACAAACAGGUGGGAAUUUAUAAAGUAUGAUGGCAGCAGCAGAGAAUUAAACCAAAUACCAUGUCCUCCUGGGUAUGGGUCCUGUGAGAUUGUGUGGAUCACAUGACCUUAGUUGAGUUAAAUUCACGAAGGUCCCAGCAUCCCAUUAAAUGAGACUGAACUCAGUAGGUCAAUCUAGUCCACCAGUGUAUAGUACAGAUAGAGUUUCUCUAAUAAGUCUGAAGUGACUUCAACAGAAACAGUUCUUCAGAAAUGCCCAGGACAGGCAGAAAGUAAAUCUUUAGCCCACAAAUAUGAGUGAAGCUUUAAGAAAGCUAAGUGUAGUGAUAUAUAUGUGCUACAGAAUGCCUGUGCAGACUACAUGAAGAUAUAGGUAGAAUGGGAUUGAAGCUGGAUGAGAUUACAGACUGUGAGACGUCAGAAUUAAAAUAUAGUACAACAUCUUUACUGUGAGAUAGAGUCUCACUGUGUAUUCUGGAAAGACUUCAGGCUUUUUAUUUUCCUCCUUCAGAUUACAGAGUUCUGGGAUAGCAAGGCUACAGGUUAUGUGUCAUACCUGCUGUAAUUUGAGGAACUCGGUCAGGGGUGCUGAAGAUAGAAAGUGAUAUCUGUGUAUUCUAUUCAAAUGAUCCACCACUCCACAACAUCUCCUACUGUGGGAACUUGUCCAUAAGAUUUAUUUCUUAAUAUUCUAGCCUCAAGUUUAGUGCUCAGCAUAUGAGUGAUUAACAGAAAAAAAGGAAAAAAAAUAAAUAUUUGAAACAAUAUGCAUAAUUUUACUGCAAAUUGAGAAAAUUUCCCCAAAUUUCCAAAUGGACAGGUCACUCACACAGUUUUGGGGAACGGAAAAUGAUUUUGUCAUUCUUACUGUAGUUGAAGAUCUGGGGUAUCCCUCCUGGCUCCCCCCUCACCAAGCUUGAGCAUAUAUAAGUGAUAGAGAAUGCAUAUAUGUGAUAUAGAAUAUCUUCUGUAUUCCUGGUCCCAGCUUCUUUCAUCCUACAGCUAAGAUUGGCCUCAUAUAGGAGGCAUACUGGCUCCAGUCUCCCUUGGAACAUGGCCCUAGGUCUUUAUUCUAAUCCCUACACAUCCGGGUUAAAACUGGUUCUGAUCUUUGCCUGUUACAGAUAGACACCAACUAGGAUGCUAUGCAUGUGACUCAUUUAAUAUUAGAUUUUUUUUUCCUUAAGAAAGCAAAAAGACCUUUAACAUUUUCUAAGAAAACAUGACAGAAAUGCUGGGUGUAAUGAUUCCUUUAAAGAGUAACCCCAGUCCUCUCUCAGGGAGAUGAUGUGAAAUGCCACAGGGCUUCCACUGUGCGGGGCCUGAUUAUCAUAAAGUUCAAAUUCCUGGGUACAGCACUACAUCGUCAAAGCCUCCUGCCCUGUCAUGUGGAAACCUCUAUCAGUUCCGUUUCCAGAUUUGAUGUGAACGCUAGCGAUAUUUUCUCUCGAAUGUCUUUGAAAGUUGGUCAUAUUUCCUUGCUCGUAACUUUACUUCUUGUGUGUGUGUGUGUGUGUGUGUGUGUGUAUCCUCUACUGAUAGCUAAUGUGCACAGUUUAAGGUUAUUCAGGCACACUGGCAGGACUAUAGAGCAAAACUUGCCAAAAAUGGAACUCAAACCAGGCCAAUUUCUCUAUUCUACCAAUUUCUGUGAUAAGUAAUUCCUAACUUCCCUGAAUGUGGGGCUCAGUGAUCUUCGAUGCCAGUUACAGCUGGGUAGCUUGGGGAGAGGGGGCGAGAUGUUGCUUUGCAAACAGGUUGCUUAGAGGAUGAAAACAUGGACCACACUUAGACUGUUAAGGAUAGAGAUAGUGGGACAGAAAGGAAAGCAAUUGUGUCUCAUUUCUGUCUGACCUGUGCCACUUUGUUUCUAUCUGCAAAAGAACAGGUGACGUUGCUGUCUAGAGGCAAAGGGAAUUUCACCUAGAGAAGAUGAAAGAGGAAAGGAGUGUGUGGGAAAUGUGAUAGGACGAGGGUUGUGAGAAGAAAGACAAGGUUUGAAGAGGGGGAAACCAAGAGAGAGGAAAGGAAUCAGUGAAAGAUGGAGGGGGUGUGGUCUUAGAAAGAGGACUGGCAAGCCAACUAGAGACAAGAUAGGGACAGCAGUGAGGGGCAUCAGGAAGAAGACACGGAUAUGAAAGUGGAUCAAUAAACCGAUUUCUUUGAGAGUUAACAGUAAAGAAAUAUUUAAAAAUUAUCCUGAUGCUCUCAUUGGUUCUUUAAAUAAAACGUUUGCCAUCUGCUUAUAAAAUAAAGAUGAAGAGAAAAGAGGAUGGGAAGUUUGGUACAGUCCCUCAUAAUCCCUGAUUGGAGGCUUUCUAUGCUAAAGUUAAAUCCAUUUCUGUCAAAGAUAGGAAAAGAGGUUGGACCCAUUUUCAACAUUUUUCUACCUCAGAUAUUAUAUGAGUUACAGAUUAUACAUCUAGAUGUUGUACUAAUUUCUCAUCUAGCUACCUUGUAUUUAUGUAUUGUGUUCUCUUUCCUCUCCUAUUUCUUUGUCUUUGAAACACUUUGGGCAUCUCACCUCUGGGGCGUAGUCUUCCCAUCUGCCAUAGUCAAUAUUUAACAGCUCCUCUCCUAGGAUCCACUUGUUAAUGAUCGCGGGGUUUUAGAAUAGUGUUUGUUUUCCAUGCUUGCUUUCUCUCCUUGCCUUGUCAUCCUCCCCAAAAGAAAGGUUUAAACGGGGGAAACUAGAGAAAUAUCAACUUGUUUUGAACUAAAUAAAUGUUAUAAAGCAUUCUGGGAAAUGGUUUUAAUUUUAUUUAUCUAUUUUUUAUUUUUUAGUAGCUCCACAAUGUGUGCAAUCUCCUGCAGCUUCUCUCUGUUUUAUAAGCACCUUUUAUAAGUCUAAAUGGCUGUGUUUACAGAGAACUGUUCCCUUUAGCCAAUAAAGCUAAAAUCUGUUCAGUGCUGCUGUGCCUUAGGGAGAAUCCCUUGGAGAGCCAGACCUCUGUCUGGCAGCGUGCUCCUUUUUAUUAACACUUGGUUAUUUGAUCUCUGUGGCACUCUUGCAUUUUAAAGCAGGAGUUUAGUCUUCAUUUUAACAAAAUGCAAAGUUAGUAAAAAGUUACACAUAUCAGAGGAGUGUCAGAUGAAUACCUUAAAGACCUCACUCAGUUACAUCUCUAUUUCUUCCCUUGUAUUCCAGUAGUUAGAUUAUCUGGUCUGUAGUUUUAAUGGAGGUACGGAAGACAUGCUGGAUCCUCAGAAAUAUGUACAUUAUUUUUCUUUUCUGCUAUUAAGCAGUUUUGUUAUUUUCACAUGAAUAUUAAAAUUUCUUUAUAUUACAAUCUGACAGACAUUAUUUCACUUCACAGUAUGUUGAUAUGUGGCAUUUGGGGCCACAUUAGAGAAACUAGUUUCCUCAUUGGCAUUAUUAUGUCAGAAGCAGAAGGGAAGUUCUUUCUCUUUCCUCCGCCACAUCUGCUGUUUCUACGUUAUAUCCCAGCAACCUGGCAGUUGUUUGUUCAAUAGACAUCAACUGGAAUGCAAGGGGAAGCACCAGGUCCCAUCUCUGGCUAAGGUUUGUUUUCAGGUGCAUCUGUUGAUGAGUGAUCCUCCGCAGUAAAACAGACUCUGAGUUGUUAGUUUAUAAUGAAAAUUACUUCUGACAGAGGGGAGCCCCGGUCAUUUUUAGCUGAUGAGUUAUCUUCUUCGAAGGACUCGAUGGAGUAGAGAGCAUCACUUCAUAUACCGGAAGUCACUCUGAAUCCUAGAUACAACCAUAUAGAACGAGGUCUAAGGAAGAAAGGUUGGAAUUAUAUAUCAUCUUUCCCAGUCAUUAGUGCAACCGAACAUGAGCCAACUGGUAAAUAUGUCCAGAUCGCCAGACCUCUCAGCCUUGGCAUGUAGUGAUUCGGAGCAUUGCAUGUGUCACCCCUACUUGGCUUUCAGCUGCUUGCUCCUCAAAAUUCUUGGCCUGAGGUAUAGGCACAGCCAUCUUUCCCCCAUUGUUCAGUGGCUCUCAACUGGCAGCAGCAGGCUGUGGGAUGGCACCCUGCCUCCUCUCGUUCAUAUCGCAUAGAUAGCUCUGGGAAAGUUCAGAGAGACUAUCUGAAUGGUUGAUCCCAUUCAGCAUUUCUCAGCUGCUUUAGGUAGCUGAGAGCCUGGGGUCACUUCUCUUGUAACACUGAGCAAGGAAAAGGUCACAUCCCCACUCCAAAAUCCAGCCCGUUUCUUCUUCUGAAUGGUAGACUUGGAGAUCUCUCCAUCAAAAUCCCCUCCCCAUGUUUUCAAGGCACACUCUGGAUGCUACUGUAGAAUUUCCAAUAAGACCAAUAAUAUAGAAUAAAUGAGUGAGACUCUAGCCAUGAACUCCAGGUGAGUGAGAAUAAAAUAUAAUAUAUUCUCACCGCAGAAUUCCUUGAAUGCCAUCAGCUAAAAAUCAGACUCUACAGUACUUGUCCCUCCUCCCCACUUAUUGGAUCUUUUGGGAAGUCUUUGGAUAUUUGAGGAUAUCUUCAUGAAGAAGGACGAUUUGAAGCUUACUGAACUAGCUCUCUCUCUCUCUCUCUCUCUCUCUCUCUCUCUCUCUCUCUCUCUGGUUCAUAUUAGUAAAGGGUGCUUAGACUUGUUGCCAGGGAAUCUGCUGUGUGCAUACUUGGUUACCGUCUCCACAGUCUCCUGCUGUCCUUGAGAUCAAACCUCAGCACAGGCCAGGUUCCAUGUGUCAGCUACAUGUUCAGCUCAGCCUGUGCUUAUGGUAGUAGGGCCGUAGCUCCAACAGUCCCAGGAUUCGUCCCCAGCACACUGUCAUCAUGAUGGAAGUAGAACACCACAAUUAGACCAGGAUACACGUUAGGAAGAGAAGAAUCUGACUGCCUUUUCUGAAGUGUCUCAUAUUCCGCAAGGAUGAGCCAGGCACCUCAGGAUUCUGCAACAAGAGUCAGUGAAGGAUGAGCAUCUCUUCAGGCAGUCUGAAUCCUGGCCAUCUAAACUAUAUCAAACAUUGUUCUUUCCAUUAGCCAUCCCCUAAGCAUUGAUGUUCUUAAGCCUCUGCGCUGAGAAUUUUAAUACCAGCAAGAGAUUCACAUAUGAAUGAUGAAAAUAGUUUAUGUUGCCCGCAGAGCUCAAAAACUUUUUCUAAGAGUCAGACUAUGAAGCACAAAUAGAUGCUGAAUAGUAGAAUGAAGGUGUGAAACUAAGCACAGGUCAACAGUCCGAGGCACGAGCUGAUCCAAAAGCCACUCAGAUGCGAAAGAUAAGGCUUAGACCAUUGCUUCAGAAAGGCCACGCAGAAAAAGAGGCAUCAAAACCUCAUAUGACAGUCUCCACAGAAGGGGCCUUUGGCUUGGGCGUGGUCUUAGCAUCUUGAGGAGGAAAGGCUGUAUUUCUGCUUACCUGUUCUAAUCACAGUCCAUUAUGAGAGAAAGCAAAGCAGGGGACUCAUGUCAGGGACCUAGGGAUGGGCUGGUGUAGAGACAGUAGAGGAGUGAUGCUUACAGGCUUGCUCCUCGUGGCUGCUGCCGCCUGCUUUUGUAUACUAUCCAAGACUACCAACCCAGAUGUAGCAUCACUCACAAUAGGAUGGGUCCUCCCACAUCUAUCAUUCACUGAAAAAAUAUUCCCACAGGUUUGUCUACAGCCUCUCACUUGAAGUUUCUUCAUCAUGGAUGACUCUAGCUUAGUUAAAGUUGACAGAAUCCUAGCCACAUUGGAGGAAGGACUGAAAGGGAGAUUUGUCUACACAGAGCCCAGAAAUCCACGUGCAUUGGUUUGGAUAAAGGGUAGAAAGAAAAUCAAAACAGUCUGUGUCUCUAUAUUCUUUAAUAAGGUGGUGGAUGUUCACUGAACCUUGCACACACAUUAUAAUUAAGUCUCCCUGCUAUGGGGACCUUUUGAUGAGGUUUUCUUACCUCUUUUUCUGCAUGGCUUUUCUUAAGCAAUGAUCUAAGCCUUAUCUUUCUCAUCUGAGUGGAUUUUGGAUCAGCUCGUAGCUUGUUAUUCAUAAACAGGGAGUCACUCCAAAAUACCAUGCUGCAGAGUGUUUGCACGUGUCAGGUGAGCAGUCUCCAGGCAUCCAAUAGAGAAAGGAUUCUAAGCUCCCAAAGAGAACUUCUUCUCUGCAGUUUUAGAUUGGCACAUAUUGCUGGUCUCAUGACUACUGUGUGGGGUGCUAAGGGUUAAAUCUCACGGAAAAAUACAACCAAAAGUGUCAAGUAAGUUCCUUAUUCCAGACUGUGACUGUGUUUAAAUAGAAGGCUAGAAACUAUUGUAAACCCAGUCGCACUGACAAAGCAUUGAGUACCCGCCCCUACUGAGAGACAGAGGGACAUUUAACAGGCAUUAUUUACGAUUAGUGUAACCUGUAUAUUUCUUGGGACUAAUGUCCCUGUAACAGUCAUAGAAGAAUUAUCUAUAGCCAAACUAGCCUAACUCAAGAUUAUUUGAAUUGUGAUCUUGAUUUUUUUUCAACAAGAAUUUAAUUUAGAUUAUACUGAAUUUUUAAUAAAUGUUGAAUAAUCCCACACUGGCUAAGAAUUUCUGGUAUUCAUUGUAUAUUUGAAAACUAUGUGGUUUCUGCCAUGUAUUUUGUAACACAUUUCUGAAUAACGUCUCUCAUAGUUAGAUUUAUGCGAAGCAUAACACAUUUAUACAUAUUGAAUCCUUAAAAUACUCAGUAAGGAUACAUUAUUACAUUACAUUACAGUAUAUUAUAUUACAUGGAUCAGAAAGUUCCCAAGACUUUCUACUGCUUGAGGAGCCAACCCUAGGCUCUAUGCAGAAGGGGCUGUGAGCUCACUCUUCUUUUAUUGAAUAUAGCACAUAGAUAUUACACAAGUAGAAUAAGUGUUUUAAAACAGUUUUGGGAACUAUCAUGAACAAGUGUAGACGGAAGUCUUUACUUCCAAAAUAGUUUAUUAGUGGUGCCUUGAGAAAAGUAAAAGGACUUAUAAUAUACAUGGUAUCUGCACUAAGAGAUCUUAGUGACUGGAACUGAAGAAAAUGUAGCAUUGAAAUAAUCAGGCUGCCCUGCACCUAAAAACUAGUGUAGUUAAAAGAGUAGAAUAGCCCCAGUACAGAGGAACGCCAGGGCCAAAAAGGGGGAGUGGGAGGGUAGGGGAUCGGGGGGGGGGGUGAGUAUGGGGGACUUUUGGGAUAGCAUUGGAAAUGUAAAAGAGGAAAAUACCUAAUAAAAAAUAAAUAAAAAAAAAAGAAAAAAAAAGAGUAAAAUAAAAGAAGAGCUCACAGCCCCUCUGCAUAGACCCUAGGCUUUGUUCUUCCAGCCUUUGGAAUUUUACAAUCCAUUUAAGGACCUUAUCCCAUAGGGACAUCAUUGGGAGCUGGGUGAGGACGUAGAAGGAGGUGGUAAAGUUUUGUGGCCAAUAUUGUUUAGAAGCAUUAUGCAUGGCAGAUAAAGAUGCCGCAACCAUGAAAUGGGCAGGUGACAAGGUAAGAACACAGAAGACCACUAUCUGAUGCUUUAAGAUUCAAAUAGUCUGUUGGUUUAUAUGUAAGAAGGAGGCAAGUCUUGGCCACUGUCUGGACUGGACCCAAGAACUGAGAAGUACCAAAUGACUUCAAGACUGAUCAGUAGUCUCCGUGGCUAAAGAUGAGGGCAUUUUGUGAAUAAAAUGAACAAAACCUAGUUUAAGGUAAUAGCUUAUGUUUUCAAUACAGGGUUUCCUCCAAAUGGUGAUCACCUAAAACAUUUUUGUAAAACAAAAAAUAAAGAAAGAAAGAAAUGUGACUCUAUAUAUGUAAGCUAUAGAUAGAUAGAUAGAUAGAUAGAUAGAUAGAUAGAAUGGUCUUAUGGGAUAAAUAAUGAUGGAUAGAUAGUAAAUGGUUAUUAUAGUAAAGCAAAUUAGAACAUGCAUUAUUUCAAAAGUUUUUUUUCCUUUUGGGGAUAUAUAUAUAUAUAUAUAUAUAUACACACACAUACAUAUACAUAUAUAUUUGUAUGUAUAUAUGUGUGUAUAUAUGUAAUGUAUAUGUCUAAAUACAUGUAUAUAUAUAUAAUUAUCAAGAACAAUGGAACACUACUUAUCUGGUGCAAUCUUAUUAAUUAUGGCUCUAUUGUUAUGCAUUAGUAAUGGAGACAGCUCAUUAUACAUGGCUACUACUGCAUGUUCUCUGGCCUAAAUGAUUCUUACAUUGGAGGUUUCAAUGGUGAAUACUGAUGGAAAUAAAACCUAUGGCAUAGAAAUUCACCCAUCACUUCUCAUAUUUUACUAUCACCUCUGUUGUAUUGGUGAUCAAACUCAAAUUCUUCCAUAUGCCUCCUAAAGAAGUAUUAUUCGAACAUACAAUCUCUUAGGGACUAUUCUCAUUCAUGCCACUACAACGUAUGUCAACUCCUAUGCUGUAGAUUUGGAGAUUGUAGCUAAUUCAUGGCUCAUUCAAUUGGUUUGAGAAGUUGGCUUUUUAACCCAUUAGCUUUCAAUGAGACCCCAUCAGUGGCCAAACAAAAUGCAUUAAGUUAUGGACAGAGGUACAUAGGCUCCACCUACAGUUGUCAGAUGAAGUUCUCCUGUGGAGGCAGAGAUUUGUGAGCAAGAGGAAGGAAUAGGCAGAAACCAAUAGCCAUUUGAUUGGGACAUUGAGUAGACACUUCUGGAGAGAGGGCACUUAAUCUUAAAACUUAAGUAAAGCUAAGUAGCACAGGAAUCAAGAAGGGAUUCAGUAGAUGUCUUAUUGCUUCUAGUGUAUAUAAAAAAAUUUGACCCAAAAAAUAGAAUAUGUCACACGCAAAAAAUGGAAGUAAACAGAGAUGAUCACAUUAAGUGAAUUAUGCCACACAUGUUUUUCUCUCAUUUGUGCCGCUUAAAUUUUAUAUAAACACAUAAAGUUAUAUACUUAUAUACAGCUUGAAAGGAGAAGAAAACAUGUCUAGAAGACAAUGGGAAAACUAAGCAGGAAUUUUGUGGCCUUCUGACUUUAACCAGGAUUGAUUGUUUAUGUGAUUAUAGAUUUGGAACUAUCCAGUGAAGUUGGGUGGGCUCCCAGUAUGCUCGAAAUAUAGACAAUAACUUCACUUCUCCUAGAACCCAUCAGUAGCUGGUAAUUCAGCAGGGAAGGGGGUGGGGAUUCCCAAGUCUCCCUCCUGUCUAUGAGUGUUCUCAGAUCCUGUGCUGUGCAGGUCCUCUGAGAUCAUGACUGCAGUGAUAGUCAUGCCCUUUUCCCAUCUUCUGACCUGGUGUUCUUUCAGCCCUUUCUUCUAAGGUGUUUUCUGCGUAUAGAAAACAUAGCAUAAAUUUCCUCCUUAGGGGUGAGCAGCAAACCAUCCCUUAUUUUGAGCAUUUAGUCAGUCAAGAGUUUCUAUAUUCACUGAUAGUUAUUUUAAUUAGCUUCUCUGAUCACGGUUAGGAGUUGAUUUUGUCUAUGGAUACAAAUAUAAAUGUUUAGAAGUGAUUUGAUGCCAUGUCAGUUUAACUAAACAACAGUAUUUGAAAUUUCCUGAAAGUCUAUGGUCUUCCUACCUAUAGACUUACUAAGUUCACAGUACUAGACCUUGAUUCCUUCCUAUGAUGCAGGCCUCAAAUCUAAUCAGAGCAAUGUGGGUUGUGCCAUAUAGCACUGGAGACAUCUUGCUUAGCAGAUUAGUGUUGUAGUUUGUAGUGUUCACAGCUGGGAGAUUCCUUUGCAAGCCCAGGUGCCUGCAUAAUGACUUCUGACAUUAUGAAAGUCAGCUAAAACCAGCUACCAGGGAGGACACUUCUAUCUGAGUUACAAUGAUUUCUCGAAAUCUUGCAGCCAAAGUAUGUGCUAUUUUCAGCAGUAGGGUCUGAUAGUCUAGUUCUUCAGGACAAUCCAGAGGAAUGUCCAGAAGGACCCUGCAUUAUUUGAAGGCCCUUUAAAGCUUCACUGACCAACAGCAUAAAAGCUAUAUCCCACACUUGGCAGCAGGAUUUUGGUUUAAUGAUUAUUAAACAAAUAUUAGAAUCUAUGGCUUUUAAGAUAUCAUGGAUCUAAAACAAAAACCUUCCAUACAACAAAGGAAUAAGUCAAAUGAGUGAAUCAACAACCUAUAAUAGGGGGAAGAUCCUUGCCAGCUAUGCAUCAAACAGAGAAUUAAUAUCUAAGAUGCACAAAGAACUUACGGGAAAAAAAAACCCAAUUUUAAAAAUGGGCUAUAGAUCUGUACAGAGCCCUUUAAAGAAGACAUGCAAAAGGCUGAUAAACAUUUUAAAAAGUGUUCAACAUCAUUAGUUAUAAGAUAAAUGCAAGCUAAAUCUACUUUGAAAUUCCCUCUCCCUACAGUCAGAAUGGCUAUUAUCAAUACGACAAAUGACAGAAAAGACCAGGGAGGGCGUGAGGAGAGAGGAACCAUCAUUCAUUGUAGUGGGAGUGCAGGCACCAGGGAAAUCAGUGAGAGGUUCCUUUCAGAGCUAGAAAGAGAUCUAACAUAUGAUCCAGCUAUACUACUCUUGAGUAUAAGUGGAGUGUUUAGUCAACAGCUCCAUAUCUUACUGCAGCGAUGGUUGUUCAUCUGUCUUCAUUGUUGCUCCAUUCAAAAAAAAAAAAAAAA